UACUCUUCCACCGUUGCUUGCAAUGGAGGUAAUGUCAGUGUUGGUCUUUCUAACUGGGAAGCCAGCCAUGGACUUGAGGCCAGUGAAUGGAGCCACCAUGUUGGCCUGUGCCGGGGAGGCACCAUUAAUGGUGGUGACGGCGGAGGAAGUGAUCAUAGAGGAAGCCAUUUCUUUCUCCUUUCUUAGUUCUCUAGUCAGAAAUACUUGCAAGUCUUGCACUCAAACAGGGUAUAUAUAAUGGUUUAGUUUUGAUAAUUUCUGAUGAAGUGGUCUGAAAUUGAGUGGAUUUGGAUGCUGCCUAAUUUCAACCAUUGGAUUGUGAAAUGAUAAACAUUGCAGCAUAUAAACCACACGAGAGUGGGGGGUUUUUAUUGUAAAAUUUACACUUGAAAAUCAUCACCAUAAACACCACUAUUUUUUUUCUUCUUUGGAGUCAUUUUAUUCUUACUCAACAUUUGUGCAACUUCUGAUAAAGUGAUAUAAUGGAAAAAGAUAAGUAGAAAAAUAAGUUGUAAAAUAGUGUAGAGAAAAUAAAAAAGAGUGGAAACGAUAUAUUUUAUUCUUUCUGAAAUGAUUACAUUUUAUUUUCUCAAUUCUUCCCCUUUUGUUUGUUGGAUUUCCAUUUUCAAAAGUACAAGUCAUGUAGCUAAAUGAACCUCUUAUCUUUUUCUUUAUCUCAGUGCAACGUUUCCCACAAGUGUAGCUAUCAGAAGGGUCCGGUAUUCACAAACCCCACAACCACUAAAUGAUUAGCCAAUUAGUAAUCCAUGACUACCAGCAGGAAUAAGCUCCAAACAAAAUCACAUAAUGGACUCUAGACUAGUUAUCAGCCAAUAAUCAGAUUCUAACCAAGAUUGGAAUUUUGAUGUUUAAAAAAAGUUUGUUUUAUUUCUUACUUUUGGUCUUUGAUAGGUGUCCACACCCUCUUCGAGAACAAGACUAAUUUCGCUUAGGAAGCUGUGACAGUCCCUCACAACGGAUGACUUUCUUGGAGUUUGAAUUUGUGUCAUCACCCUUACAGGAGCCUACCUUGCCUACGACUACUCUAACACCCUGUUGGUAAAUUUGUUUUAUUUUGAUAGUAAGAUAACUUGUUAAAAUCCAACUAAUUAUAUUUGGCUCUAUGUUGAAUUGAGAUUCAUUUAGCCGUUACAGAACAACAAUUAUGGUUUGUAAGUAGCAGAAAGGUCAGUGAAGAAAAGCCUCCAACAAAGUGCUAUACUGGAUUAGCAUGUGUUUAGUUAUCUUUGCAGCUUUGCAUGAAUCAAUCAAAGGUAUAGCAAAUUGGUCAGGCAAAUGUUGAGUGCAAAAGUUGUAAUUUUUUUGUAACAGAAGCUCUGCAAAUAUAUUUGUUUCCAAGGAUACCGUGAAUUUCUAUUUGGUAUUGAAAGUUCAGUAGCUACAUGGCCAACAGAAGUACAGUUGAAGUAUGCUUCAUGUCUGGUUAAAAUCCUAUAAAAGGGUCAAAAGUUAUAGCUAUUAGGUACUAGCUAGCAACCAACACUUCAAAAGAUAGACAGAAACUAUGUGAACUUAAAUGUCCAUUUAUCUAAGCAUUUUGCUCAUUGUGUUUGGCUUAUAACUUCUUAUGUUCUUUAACAAAACUCCAUUUUACCUUUGUAGUAGGCAUGAAGAAUAAACACCUCAAACAUUCAUUGCAAUGUGAACAGACUUUUUUUCGGACAGUAAGAAGAGUUCUAUUUAUUUUUUAUCUAGAAGUACGAGCGAGGAUCUGUGCUUAUCAAAAAAAAAAAAAACUAGGAUCUGUUUCCACUAAUGCAAACAGAUAACUUGACACAUCAUAGUUCAAUUGUGUAAUUGGUCAUAGACAUUUUGACUUAACAAUGACAUUUAUAAACACACCUAUUCAGAACAUCCAUUUGUGUGAGGCUGUUUUAUAUAUCUGAUACUUUGCCUUAAUAUCAUACUGUUAUUUCCUUUGUUCGUAAUCAUUGCAAACCCACUAGAAGGAAAACCACAGAUAAUGUGUUCUUAAGAAAUUUGGAAACAAGAAAAUUAUUCAUUCAUGAGCUCUUAUACAUUCAUUUGCAUAUGCAAAUGUGAAACUGAACAAAAGAUGCCAAAAUAUAGGAUGGCAAAGAAAAAGAAAAAACUGAACACAAGGCCUUUUUGUAUGAAGAUUUCAAACUUAGUAGCCUGCAGGCCUGUGAGCAAUGAAGCUGAUGCACUGCACUUGGCGAACGUUGUCGAAUCCGAUGAUGCGAACGAAAGCAUUGGGGUAUGCCUUCACAGCCUCAUCAAGCUCCUUCAACACCUGAGCAGCAUCACUGCAGCCAAACAUGGGCAGCUUCCACAUGGUCCAGUACCGUCCGUCAUAGUAUCCCGGUGACUUGUGGUUCUCACGGUAAACAAAGCCUUUCUGCACAUACAAAAUGCAGCAAACAGAUCAUCAACUAUCAAAGCUAAAAGUUAUAUUAGCAAGUUUAGAUUGGUUUGGUUCUGGCACACAAUUUAAAGUAUGGUAACUCUAGAAGCUGCAAUUUGUAGCUUUGCAGCUUCUGCCAGAAAUUGAUUAUGGGGCUUCCCGCCGCAGAACCAAACAAACUCAUAAUGAAAAUCUAGAAUGUAAAGAACCAAAGGUUGGCCUACUGGAGGUAAAUUUAUCUCCGACUCAAAUUCCAAGAAAGGAAUCAACCAUCAAAGCUCAUAAUAUAUGUAUAUCAUGUUUAAAUCGGUGGUGACACAAGUUUAAAUCACGAUACUUUUAGCGUGUUUGGUUCUGUGUUGAGAAGUAUCCUAAUCAUUUAUAGUGAGAAGCUACAAAAUGCAGCUUCUUAACGUAUCAUGUUUUGGAUUGUAUGCCAUCACUUAGCCAUACCUGCUACUUGCAGCUUCUCCCAAGAAGUGAUUAUGUGACUUAUUACCGCAGAACCAAACACGCUUAUAAUGAAAAACUACAAAGUACAAAGUAAAGAACCAAAGGGUUGGAAGAGAAUUGACCUCUGUCUCAAAUUCCAAGCAAGGAACCCACCCCUUCCUAAGAAGGUAUUCAACUUCCUUUAACAGUUGCUCUGUGGUGAGUGGUGGCAGGUAUGAAAGAGUCUCGAACUUCUUCUUGCCAACAGGAGGCCACACCUAGUAGUAUGCAUAAGAUUGAGUAAAGUGGUUAAUAAAUUUGUACUUGUUCACAUUUGCUAAUGACUUUAAUGUCAUUUAGUACAUCUUUGGAAACUAUCCCACAUUCAAUUAUUGGAAGUUUUUGUGAGUAACUUCAAGUGUCAGAAUGGAUUAUGAUGAAAUACUGUCUUAAUCAAAUGUUAUUAUUUUAUAUAGUACAAAAACAUGUAGCAUUAUCAUUGUAAUCAUCUUGAUGCUUCUUACCUGCAUGCAUUGUACUCUUCCACCGUUGUUUGCAAUGGAGGUAAUGUCAUUGUUUGUCUUUCUAACUGGGAAGCCAGCCAUGGACUUGAGGCCAGUGAAUGGAGCCACCAUGCUGGCCUGUGCCGGAGAGGCACCGUUAAUGGUGGUGACAGCGGAGGACGUCAUCAUAGAGGAAGCCAUUUCUUCUGCUUUCUUAGUCAGAAAUACUUGCAAGGCUUAUACUCAAACAGGGCAUAUAUAUUGCCAAAGUGAUAAACAUUGCAGCAUAUGAACCUCACGAGAGUGGUAAACUUUUGAAUGUUAGCCUUUACUAUCGGAGUCACUAUGAUAUUGCCACGUGGAUGAAGUGCCAUAAUCUUAUCUCCUCCUAAGAGAGCACUUGUGUGAUGGUGGUGAGGUUGGUGUUUUCCUUGCGGUCCUAUUUGUAUGCUGGCCUGAUGGAAUUUUGUGACCAUGCCUCCAUAAAUAUCUUUCAGGUAAAGGUACAGAAUUUUGUUGCUAUGUUCAGGCUUUGGCUGUUCAGGGAGGUGAAGGACAGAAGUUAAAUGUAAAAGAAUUUCAGGCUAGAAAAAUGUCAAUCCAAAGAGCCCUCUCAAGUGACAGUCUCUUGCACGUCCCAUAUGUAAUUUCAAUCCCCGAAAUCACAUUUAUCCAUAAGCUUCAAUAUGUAACUUCUCAGUUAAAUUCAAAAAAAAAAAAUUCAAAAAAAACUUCUCAGUUAACAUGCUUUGGAUGCUAUCCCUUUUGUUGGGUCGUAGUUGAGAAUGUGCUUUCGUUUCUACUGUUACAUGAGAUAACAAUUUGAGGUGAGCCUAAUUUUACCCCAAAAGUCACUAGUCACAGUAAGACUUUUCAAACCGAAAAGCAAAGUCAUUGGACUAGACCGGCCCAACCAAUAGCUAAGCCCAACCCUACAUCGAUCAGAUUAAAGGAAUCGUUAACUUCUCUCAUAAAAAAGACUCAUUUGAAGGUCAGCCUAAUAAAAGCGUCUGCUCGAGAUUGGUGAGAUUGUGUCUCCAUUUCCUUGAAGUCGGCCGCGUCUAUGCCAUAGAGGGACGAGACCAAGGAUCAUGAUGGAGACUGUGAUUGUGAAAAGGGAAUUAAAGAGACUUUAUUAUGUAAUCACACACUUCGGUCUAUAAGAAGUGGCCUAGGAAAUGAAAUGGGACAUGCUCACUUGUAUUAUGAGAGAUUAAGGUUUGAGUCGUGUUGGCUUUAUCUUGGUCUCUUAAGGUUCACAAUGAGAUUUUAUUUGGUUCACACUCUCGAGCCUCUUUUGCAGAUCACCUUCUAAGACAACGGCUUAUCGAGCAUUAUGGUUGCCCUCAUGCCGUACUCGGUGGCCACCUGAGCGGCUUGAUGCAUGCUGCCUCCUUCAACCUGAUGUCCUCGGGAAAGUCAGGUCCUUGUCUAAGACCUUUACGGAUGAAAACCAUAUGUCCCAAAAUGAGUAAGGCUCUUUGACCUUCAAGUCUUCAAACUCCCUCAGCAUAUCAUGCCAAUUAAUCAUAAAUAUCUUUAUCAAGUAAAGGUACAUGUUAAAAAAAAGUAAAGGUACAUGUUAGGUGUCCCUAAUUCUAACAUGGUAUCAGAGCCUCUUUGAUCAAGCGGUUCAGAGUUCGAUCCCUGCCGCUCCAAUUAUUCUAAUAAAAAGUUGAAUUAAAAAGAACAUGGUAGGUGAGCUUGUGCACUGUCCACGCUUUAAGCUCAAAGGGCUCUUGCGUGAAGGGGCGUGUUAGAAUAUAAUAAAACCAUUCAUAUGAUAAUUACCCAACAACUUAAGCUUUUGGGAUAAUUGGUUGUUUGAUAUUACAUGUUAAGAAUUAAGAUAAUAAUCAUUGUUGAUUUGUUCAGGCUUUCUGUCCAAUUAAUUAUAUUUGGCUUUAUGUCGACUUUGGAUUCAUUAGCCAUUUCAGAACUACAAUUAUGACUUGUGAGUAGCAGAAAGGACAGUGAAGAAAAGCCUCAAACAAAAAACCUAUACUGGUAUGUAGCAAAUGUUUAGUUAAUUAUCUUUGCAGCUUUGCUAAUGAGUCAAUAAAAGGUAUAGCAAAUUGGUCAGGCAAAUAUAGAGUGCAAAAGUUGUAAAAAUUAUUUGUUCAAUGAGAUUUUAUUUGGUUCACACUCUCGAGCCUCUUUUGCAGAUCACCUUCUAAGACAACGGCUUAUCGAGCAUUAUGGUUGCCCUCAUGCCGUACUCGGUGGCCACCUGAGCGGCUUGAUGCAUGCUGCCUCCUUCAACCUGAUGUCCUCGGGAAAGUCAGGUCCUUGUCUAAGACCUUUACGGAUGAAAACCAUAUGUCCCAAAAUGAGUAAGGCUCUUUGACCUUCAAGUCUUCAAACUCCCUCAGCAUAUCAUGCCAAUUAAUCAUAAAUAUCUUUAUCAAGUAAAGGUACAUGUUAAAAAAAAGUAAAGGUACAUGUUAGGUGUCCCUAAUUCUAACAUGGUAUCAGAGCCUCUUUGAUCAAGCGGUUCAGAGUUCGAUCCCUGCCGCUCCAAUUAUUCUAAUAAAAAGUUGAAUUAAAAAGAACAUGGUAGGUGAGCUUGUGCACUGUCCACGCUUUAAGCUCAAAGGGCUCUUGCGUGAAGGGGCGUGUUAGAAUAUAAUAAAACCAUUCAUAUGAUAAUUACCCAACAACUUAAGCUUUUGGGAUAAUUGGUUGUUUGAUAUUACAUGUUAAGAAUUAAGAUAAUAAUCAUUGUUGAUUUGUUCAGGCUUUCUGUCCAAUUAAUUAUAUUUGGCUUUAUGUCGACUUUGGAUUCAUUAGCCAUUUCAGAACUACAAUUAUGACUUGUGAGUAGCAGAAAGGACAGUGAAGAAAAGCCUCAAACAAAAAACCUAUACUGGUAUGUAGCAAAUGUUUAGUUAAUUAUCUUUGCAGCUUUGCUAAUGAGUCAAUAAAAGGUAUAGCAAAUUGGUCAGGCAAAUAUAGAGUGCAAAAGUUGUAAAAAUUAUUUGUUACAGAAGCUCUGCAAAUAUAUUUGUUUCCAAGGAUACCGUGAAUUUCUAUUUGGUAUUGAAACUUCAGUAGAUUCAUGGCAAAACAGAAGUGCAGUUGAAGUCUACUUCAUAUUGGGUUAAAAAAGCCUAUCAACUGGUCAAUAGUAGUAGCACUAGCUAGUAACCAUCACUUCAAAGAUAGAUAAGAAACUAUGUGAACUUAUAUGUCCUCAUUUCUAAGCAUUUUGCUCCAUUUUCUUGGACUUAUAAAUUCUUAGAGCAACUCCAACCCACAAUUUCNNNNNNNNNNNNNNNNNNNNNNNNNNNNNNNNNNNNNNNNNNNNNNNNNNNNNNNNNNNNNNNNNNNNNNNNNNNNNNNNNNNNNNNNNNNNNNNNNNNNNNNNNNNNNNNNNNNNNNNNNNNNNNNNNNNNNNNNNNNNNNNNNNNNNNNNNNNNNNNNNNNNNNNNNNNNNNNNNNNNNNNNNNNNNNNNNNNNNNNNNNNNNNNNNNNNNNNNNNNNNNNNNNNNNNNNNNNNNNNNNNNNNNNNNNNNNNNNNNNNNNNNNNNNNNNNNNNNNNNNNNNNNNNNNNNNNNNNNNNNNNNNNNNNNNNNNNNNNNNNNNNNNNNNNNNNNNNNNNNNNNNNNNNNNNNNNNNNNNNNNNNNNNNNNNNNNNNNNNNNNNNNNNNNNNNNNNNNNNNNNNNNNNNNNNNNNNNNNNNNNNNNNNNNNNNNNNNNNNNNNNNNNNNNNNNNNNNNNNNNNNNNNNNNNNNNNNNNNNNNNNNNNNNNNNNNNNNNNNNNNNNNNNNNNNNNNNNNNNNNNNNNNNNNNNNNNNNNNNNNNNNNNNNNNNNNNNNNNNNNNNNNNNNNNNNNNNNNNNNNNNNNNNNNNNNNNNNNNNNNNNNNNNNNNNNNNNNNNNNNNNNNNNNNNNNNNNNNNNNNNNNNNNNNNNNNNNNNNNNNNNNNNNNNNNNNNNNNNNNNNNNNNNNNNNNNNNNNNNNNNNNNNNNNNNNNNNNNNNNNNNNNNNNNNNNNNNNNNNNNNNNNNNNNNNNNNNNNNNNNNNNNNNNNNNNNNNNNNNNNNNNNNNNNNNNNNNNNNNNNNNNNNNNNNNNNNNNNNNNNNNNNNNNNNNNNNNNNNNNNNNNNNNNNNNNNNNNNNNNNNNNNNNNNNNNNNNNNNNNNNNNNNNNNNNNNNNNNNNNNNNNNNNNNNNNNNNNNNNNNNNNNNNNNNNNNNNNNNNNNNNNNNNNNNNNNNNNNNNNNNNNNNNNNNNNNNNNNNNNNNNNNNNNNNNNNNNNNNNNNUCACACAUUAAUUAAUAUUUAAAUUUAAAACAUUAAAUUUAUUAUGAAUAUAAACAUGUAUUACAUUAAAGCAGUAUGAUAAAUUUAAUGAGAUGGAAUGCCAAAAAUCACCUAUGUGUAGAUAUAAUAAUUUGAAGAGUGUUCAAAACUUGUGGCCAAGAUUGAAAGAGGAUGUUAAGAUCAAAACCAACGAACGAUCCUGAUUGAUUUCUAAUUCAAUAAGAAACAUAAUUACAGUAAUGACUAUGAAAAAAAUACAACAAUGUGUAAUAAUAAAGUGAAUUACAAAAUUACCCUCUAAGCUGCAUGAACUUUUCUUUUAUAUAUAUUAUAGAUAGAUAGAUAGAUAGAUAGAUAGAUAGAUAGAUAGAUAGAUAGAUUAUAUAGGAGUAAAUAUUUGUAUGAUAAUUGAUAAUCGAGAAUCUUUCAUCUACCAUAAGAAUCAACCGAUCGAUAAAAAAUGGAAGUUGCACUAUUAUUGUCAUUAUUCAUGAAUAUUAUUUACGAUAUUUUUAUUUAUCCAAUAAUGCAUUAAUUUCCAUUAACUUUUACUUAAUCAUCACCUAAUUCUCUUUCCAUUGCCCUUUCAUCUCUAACCUUGAAAGUUGAAACUGAUGAAUCAAACUCUGGAAAUAAGAUAUUAUUUUAAAGCCUACUAAGAACAUCUCCAAUGGUAGUAUUUAAAGUUAAAUACAUACUCAUAUGAGUAUCUAUUACCAUUGGAGUACAUAUUCAAUUCCAACAUGACAAAUGUGAGUAUGUGGAAAUAGAUACUCUACACUAGACUUAAAAUUUGAGCUUGUAAUUAUGAGUAUCUAUUACCAUUGGAGUACAUAUUCAAUUCCAACAUGACAAAUGUGAGUAUGUGGAAAUAGAUACUCUACACUAGACUUAAAAUUUGAGCUUGUAAUGCACUUACAAUUAAUUAAAAUGAAGAUAAAUAAUAAAAUAUACAAAUGUGAUGUUGAUGGUGAGAUCCAUUAUAGAAACUUUUAAGAGUUGUUGGGUUUGAGUAAAAUGUUAGUAAAAUUGGUAGAUGAUGUGGCAUUAUGAGAAAUUAAAAAAUGAUAUGUAGAUAUUUUAGUGAGUAUGAUCGAUGUAGAUACUCUAACCAAUACUCAAUCAAAACGUUGGAAGUUGGAACAAAACAACAAGCUCUGGAAAUAAAUCUUCAUUAGAAAUCCUUGGAGUUGUAACGAAUAUGUUGUCGCAUUUUACAUACAUGGUCUCCUCUCCUCUCUUAUUUUUAUUGUUUCUACCAUCAAGAAUUGAAGUAAAGUACCAAAUGAGAUACAUGAUAUAUAUAUAUAUAUAUAUAUAUAUCAAAGUUAGCAAAGUCUCUAAUUUUUUCAAGGUUCUAUUGUUUUUAAUUUUGUUUAUUGCUUACAAUUAAUAGAAAAUGUCAAAUAGAAAGUAUGAAUAUGGUUUUGAAAAAUUGAGUAAAAAAUUAAAGAAAAGUUAAAAAGUUAAUUGAAUCUCAACAUAACACUCCUUAAUCCUUAUAAAUUUAUCACUAUUACAUAAAAAUGAUUUCAAAAUUAGAAGUAAGUGUAAUAGGUAAAAUGUGUUAGAACAACUAUAAAUGAUUUUAUAGCUCAAAAAGUUAAAAAGUUAAUAUGAAAAACUGAUAAUUUAUAUAAAGUAUUAAGUCUUUCAAAGUUUUUUUAGAAAUAAUCCCUAAAAUGUAUAUACACGUUCUGGGAUAUUAUCUCUGUUUUCUUGGUGAGUGGGGAUUGCGAAACCUGAAAUUAGUUGGUUGGUCCCCGUAAAGCACUCGGUGUCUUCUAUUUCUAAUCCUUCUAUCGCUAUCAUCACUUUAUCCAUCUUUUCUAUUUUAUCUCUUUUGUUAUAUACUUCUUGUUUUAUUUGGGACUCUCCGCGGUUUAAUCUUAAUUAUCACAUGCUUUGGUACUUUGUUGUAGUUCUCAGCAUUUAUGAUUUCUAGCAUUCUCAUUUUGGUUUGAGAAGCUAAUUAAUUAAUUGAUGACAUGUCAAACUCAAAUGAUGAGUAUAUUAGGUCGACCUCCUUCCAAUAAUUCAGAUCUUUAUGCAUCAUAGACGAUGAAUUGAAUUGUCACAGUGUGGUGCUUGAUCUCAAAAUGUACAGCUCUUAGUAGUGCUUACUUGUUUAUCAUCGGAAAAAGUUUCACGGACACUUGUAUUAAAUGGAGAAAUGAUGAAAGUAAAAGAGAGAAAAUAUAUAUAAUUAAGAUGUGUGAUAUAAUUAAGAAAGAUGGAAAAUAAAUACAAAAUAGAAGUGGAAACCAAAAGUAGUGGAAAAAAUAUUAAGUGUGAAUUAGCUAAGAUAAAAGAAUCUACCAAAAAAAAAAGCUAAGAUAAAAGUGACAAUACCACCGUGUAAAAGUUAUAAUUAGAUCAUCUAACAAUGUGUACUUUAAUCUAACAAGGUGUUCUAGAAGAACAUCAAUAGUUGCAUGUGAAAUAGUGAAAAAUCUUUAGAAAUGCUCUGGGAUACAAAAAUAAAAACAUUAAGACAUUCAAUAACACUUGAUGAUUUUCUCUAUUUUCUCUUUUAUUGUAUAUUAUAUCAAUUAUUUAUCUUUUUUCUUUCUUUCACAAUUUUAGUGUUUGAUGAGAUAUAUGCACUAUUCGUAUGCUCACAAAUCAUUUCCCUUACUACACAUAUGAUCACCUCUCAGAAAUCAUUACCUAUUACCUUGAAUAAUUUAUCUCACGUUCACUUUUUUUCCAUGUUAUGAAUUAGUCAAUUCAUAAAUCAUGUUUUUACAAAUAAUAUUUAAUGGAUAUUAUUUAUAAUAUGCUCAUUGUGUGCUUUAGCUAUUUUGCUAAAACUAAUUUGAAGAAAUAUUUUUUUAAUUUGUAAAUCAUAUUUUUCAUAAUUCAUGAUAGACAAAGCUUUUUGUAGAGGACAAGUUUAGCUAAAAUCGUCUUAUUUUGGAAGCAGCAGAUCAAUUUCGAAUAAGCUAAAGGAAAGAACAAAAAUGGUCUGUACCCUGAAGGUUGCGGAUCGGAGAAGCAUAGGACUAAUAUAUAUUUGUUUCCUAGCCUGGCAUGAUGUAUCAUGAAAUUGCAUCGAAGCUGAAACCCUCUUACUGAAUGCUGCCAGGGGCCAGUUAGCCACGCUCGUAUACCUCCCAAAUCCCAGUCAGGUUUUGUCAGUAUUGUACACUUCAUAUAAUUGCAAUUUGCAAGUAGCAGUUCUGUGUCUCUCUCUAAACGGAUGAUAUUAAUGAAUUCUUGAUUCAAUAUUAAUAGCUAGUUUAACGAUGAUGAUUAUUCUCAAGGUAUCUUUUAGUCAUAUUUUUCGUAAAUGUGAGAUUUGUUAACAUAUCUUUAAUUAGUUGAUCGAUAUUUGGAGCGUAAGUUUUUAUAAUUGGACAUAUGUGAAUGAAUCUUAUAGGGGUGGUGUAUUAAAUUGAUAUAGCACCGUAUCAGAAUUCAAGUUAUGUUUGAUUCUAGUCCAAAACUAGUACUCCUUAAAUAGUGCAGCCAGUGAAAUUAUUUAUGAGAACAGUUUUAAUAGGAUCUGCCGAUUUGGUGCAUGGAUCCCGGUAUGAUCCCACCUCUCUGUCUAAGAACAGUUGAAUAUUUUAUUGAGUAGAUUUGGUUUGAUUAAUUACUAUUGAUGGACAGUGAUAUUUGUGACAAGUCCAUACAUCAAUAAACAAAUAUGAGAAUCUCUUAAUUUGUACAGAAUAAUUGCAUGUAGAACGUGAAAUCAGGGAAUCACAAUUUGACACCCCUUCUUCCUCUGGAUUCUUUCAUUUCUGUUUUUUUAAUGAAGUAACUAGUAAGCCACGCAGAAGAUUCAGUAGAACAUUUUGGCCACCCUUUUCCCUGACCCGGGCAAUGGAAGAGUGCAAGAAAUUGAAAACAUGACAAAGUUUAUAAUGUUUUUGUAAUAGGAACUUGUGACAAGAACUUGCGUGAGCAUCCAUAUUAUAAUAGUGCAAUCGGUGGAGGAACAGUCUAGUUGUUAAUUACUGACCAGCAUAUGCCAAACUAAUCCUCAGUCAAAAGGACAACUAUUUAAAAACAUGGUGAACAAGAUAUAUAUGAGCAGACAAAAUCUAACUAAAUGCAUACGAGUGUUAAACUUCUUGGAUGGGGAACACAAUGAAGGCUAGUAUACGGUGGUUCCCGGUUUCGCUCUGAUCUGAGUAGUUUAGUUUUCGCAUAGUAUUACUUUUAACGAUCAUGUUACUAAAUGAACUUAAUAAUGAAAAACUUAAUCCUAUAUGAGAACAUACUUGAUAUGGUCUUUACCUCAUCAAAUAAACAGCAGGACCAACGUUGCAGACAACCAGCAAAGUCAGGGACCAUCCGUGUAAUUAAAUUAGGUGGGGGACUAAAAUCGUGGAAUUGGUAAACGUCAGGGACAAAAGUUGCAAUUAAGCCACAUCUUUAACCUCAUUCUCCCACUCCCGUCGCUUUCUCUCAAUGUGAACCCUAAUCUCUUUCUCCCACCAGAAAUCCUGUACCUCCUCUUCUACUACUUGGCCACUCGUUGUUCAUCUUUGUGCAAGCCCUCUUCGUCCUCUUCGUUCAAUCUCGUGAUUGUUCAAGUCGUUUAGUCAUGCCAUCGCCUUGUCGCUCCUUUGGCCAAUGAUUUUGGUAGAGAGAGAAGAUGAGUAGAGAGAGAAAGACAUGAGAAACAAAGUAGAUUUUUUAAGUUGUUUGGUAUAAUAGAAAGAGAAAAGUAAGAAAUGAGAAAUAAUGACGCGACCUCUCUAUCCCUUACAUUUGGUUGAAUAAAAAUUGAAAAGAGAAAAAAAUAAUUUUAUGUAAAAAAACAUUUUUACUUAAUUAUAUAAAAUAUAAAUGGUAAUUCUUGUGGAAAUUAGGUAAGGAUAUAAAAAAGGGAAGACAAAAAUAACUAACACAAAUCAUCUCCUAACAUGUGUAGGUGAGAAUUUUUUUUUCCCAGCUAAGUGAGUGUGUGGGUGUUACUGAGCUUAAGCUUUGAUUUUUUUUGUCACAUGUGCCUUUUAUUGUCCAUGGUCUUAGUUUGGGCUUACCUCUAACUUUUUUUUCAAACAGCUUGCCUGAUAAGCCAACAUGUUUUUUUUUAAUAGCUUAAGCCCAGUUUUUAAUUAAACAUUCUUUAAAAAAAAAAAUUCUAGCCUUUUUAUUAAUGGCUCGUUUGGUGGUCAGGAUAGGAUAUGAUAGGAUAUGAUAUGUGAACAGGAUAUCAACAGGAUAGGAUAAGAGCAGGAUAAACUCUUAUCAUAUCCUGUAUUUGAGGUGCACAUGAUAAUGACAGGAUAUGAUAAGAAAAAAUGUAUCAGAUUUAUAUUUAAAUAAAAAAUACAUUUAAAAUUGAUCAUUCUAUUAAAUUUAAUUUCUUUACAUUUUCAUGAAUGAGUCUAUAUUUUAAAAUAAAUAAAAUUAAUUUAAAUUUUAUUAAUUAGCCUAUUUUAUUGUUUUGAAGAUGCCCUAUAUGUUAAAUAAAAUUAUGCAGUUAACCGAUUGGUUUUCACUUAGUUGUGACACGUGAUAAUUAACAAUAAAAGUUAAUUAAAUUAAGAAUGUAGGAUAGGAGACAGGAUAGUGUUAUCCAAUCCUAUUGGCGCAACAAACAUCAGAUAACAACAGGAUAUGAUUAUUAUCCUGUCCUAUCCUAUCCUGUCCUGGUCACCAAACGGGACUAUCCUAUCCUACUGGCGCAACAAACAACAGAUAACAACAGGAUAUGAUUAUUAUCCUGUCCUAUCAUAUCGUGUCCUGGUCACCAAACGGGCCCUAAGAGUCAGAUCAAACCAGACCUUUGAGGGACCAAGUUACAGGCCCUAAUGGGUCGCAUGACCUAUUUCCGCUAUAACUAUUACUAUAACAUCAUUCGUUAGAUUUUUCAUAUCUUUCUUUUAUUCAUGGAGGUUAAAUGAGUCUAACCCAUUAUUUCCCAUAAAAAUACAAGUAUAUAUGAAACGAAAAGAAAAUCAAACACAUAAUAUGCUAGCUGUACAUAUUUAUUAGUAUUUGAAGAGAAACUAAGUCAAUAUUUUUCAUCUCUAUAUACUUGUUACAUGUUUGGAUCCUCAUCCACAUAUAAACCUUGCACAAUCAUUCCACCACACAAGAGCAACUCGAAGUAGCUUCUUGCAGAAUCACGUCUUCUUCAAACAUGAAAACCUACUGAAUUUCCAAAUAAACACGCUUGGCUAUAAGGUAAGUUAAAGCUCAGUUAUUUUGAUGGAAGAGAAGCAGGGGCCGCGCCUGACUCUACCAAUAUUGACCAAAGGACAUGCACAUCAUCACAAGGGCAGGACUUCACAUCCUUAUAUAAGAUGUAUAUUCCUCUGCCUAAUUUUUACACAAGAAACCGAAUAAAAUAAGGUAAUAUCAUAAUUAAUGAUAUGAAUAUAUGAAAGUUGUUCGGUUGAUGAACAAAGAAUGUGAAAUAAUGUAAUCAAAGGAGAAAAUCACAAUGCAAAUGUUCUCAAAUUGAAGGAAGAACAGGAACUCUCAUAUAGAAGCAAAAUGACACAAUAUCAAUAGCAUAUAGUUCAAGACAGAAUCAUAAUGUUAGUAGAUUUUGAUCAAUUUCUCUUCUCUCAAAAUUAAUUUUGAAAUUCAAAAACUACUUACAUUAAGCUUCUUCUCAUAAUUGAUUCUGACUUUAGAAUCAACAAUGGUAGAAGGAUUUUCAAACAUGCAUACACAUUAAUGUGUUUAAAAUUGAAAUUGGAAUACAAGCUUACGCUUUUUAUGGCUUGAGUGAAGCCUAUCCCAGAGCUUCUUCAGUGGGCAGAGGAAGGAUUGAAGCCAUCCCAUUUGGUUGAUGUGCUACAAUUUUGGCUCUUAGUUUGGAAGAGGCAAGUUUAAACAAGGAAGGGUUGCUUGGAGCAUAGUGACUUGAAUAGUACUACUUCUCAUGUAAUUUACCACCAAAUUCCUUUUCAGUGUAAUCAUGCAAGAAAAACAUGCCAUCUCGGUGCUAUGUCUCUGUCACGCACUUUCUCUUAUGGUAGGAGCUAAACCCAUGUGUAUAAAAACUAAAAAGUAAUUCUUUCUAUGACAUUCACGCUUUCAAACCAUCCUACAUUUCAACGUACACAUUGAACUUAUUAGUGAAGCUAAAGAUUUCUUUACUAUUUUAUGCCUACUUGGUUUCUACGCAUUUGGUGGGUUUAAUUUCUUCAAGUGGUAAAACUCUACUCUUCUGGAUGAUGUGAUGUAGUUAUACACAAGAAACAACUAAAUUUGUUACGUAGCGGGAAAUUAUGACUCCAGAAUCCACAUCCACAAAGUUUUAAAUGUAUCCGCCACUGAUUGGCAGAAUAGGAUAGGAGACAGGAUAGUGUUAUCAUAUCCUGCUGGCGCAACAAACAACAGAUAACAACAGGAUAUGAUUAUUAUCCUGUCCUAUCAUAUCGUGUCCUGGUCACCAAACGGGCCCUAAGAGUCAGAUCAAACCAGACCUUUGAGGGACCAAGUUACAGGCCCUAAUGGGUCGCAUGACCUAUUUCCGCUAUAACUAUUACUAUAACAUCAUUCGUUAGAUUUUUCAUAUCUUUCUUUUAUUCAUGGAGGUUAAAUGAGUCUAACCCAUUAUUUCCCAUAAAAAUACAAGUAUAUAUGAAACGAAAAGAAAAUCAAACACAUAAUAUGCUAGCUGUACAUAUUUAUUAGUAUUUGAAGAGAAACUAAGUCAAUAUUUUUCAUCUCUAUAUACUUGUUACAUGUUUGGAUCCUCAUCCACAUAUAAACCUUGCACAAUCAUUCCACCACACAAGAGCAACUCGAAGUAGCUUCUUGCAGAAUCACGUCUUCUUCAAACAUGAAAACCUACUGAAUUUCCAAAUAAACACGCUUGGCUAUAAGGUAAGUUAAAGCUCAGUUAUUUUGAUGGAAGAGAAGCAGGGGCCGCGCCUGACUCUACCAAUAUUGACCAAAGGACAUGCACAUCAUCACAAGGGCAGGACUUCACAUCCUUAUAUAAGAUGUAUAUUCCUCUGCCUAAUUUUUACACAAGAAACCGAAUAAAAUAAGGUAAUAUCAUAAUUAAUGAUAUGAAUAUAUGAAAGUUGUUCGGUUGAUGAACAAAGAAUGUGAAAUAAUGUAAUCAAAGGAGAAAAUCACAAUGCAAAUGUUCUCAAAUUGAAGGAAGAACAGGAACUCUCAUAUAGAAGCAAAAUGACACAAUAUCAAUAGCAUAUAGUUCAAGACAGAAUCAUAAUGUUAGUAGAUUUUGAUCAAUUUCUCUUCUCUCAAAAUUAAUUUUGAAAUUCAAAAACUACUUACAUUAAGCUUCUUCUCAUAAUUGAUUCUGACUUUAGAAUCAACAAUGGUAGAAGGAUUUUCAAACAUGCAUACACAUUAAUGUGUUUAAAAUUGAAAUUGGAAUACAAGCUUACGCUUUUUAUGGCUUGAGUGAAGCCUAUCCCAGAGCUUCUUCAGUGGGCAGAGGAAGGAUUGAAGCCAUCCCAUUUGGUUGAUGUGCUACAAUUUUGGCUCUUAGUUUGGAAGAGGCAAGUUUAAACAAGGAAGGGUUGCUUGGAGCAUAGUGACUUGAAUAGUACUACUUCUCAUGUAAUUUACCACCAAAUUCCUUUUCAGUGUAAUCAUGCAAGAAAAACAUGCCAUCUCGGUGCUAUGUCUCUGUCACGCACUUUCUCUUAUGGUAGGAGCUAAACCCAUGUGUAUAAAAACUAAAAAGUAAUUCUUUCUAUGACAUUCACGCUUUCAAACCAUCCUACAUUUCAACGUACACAUUGAACUUAUUAGUGAAGCUAAAGAUUUCUUUACUAUUUUAUGCCUACUUGGUUUCUACGCAUUUGGUGGGUUUACUUUCUUCAAGUGUUAAAGCUCUACUCUUCUGGAUGAUGUGAUGUAGUUAUACACAAGAAACAACUAAAUUUGUUACGUAGCGGGAAAUUAUGACUCCAGAAUCCACAUCCACAAAGUUUUAAAUGUAUCAUCUCUUAAUAUGUACUUUAAAAUGUAUAAUAGAGAGUAGCUAAUAGUUGAAAGAUUUCUAGAUUAAAACGUGCAAUUCACAUGCCAAACUUGUCUACAAUUUGAAGGAAGGAUUCUAAACAAGUAAACAUAUGGCUUUCAACUUUCUACUAAUCCCUUCCUCAUUUUUCUCUCCUUUGUUAACUUUUUUAUCCAAACCUUAAGAAAGAGAUGAAACUUAAUCUCUAUUUUCUUUGGUAAUCUUUCCAAAAGAUUUUGUGAAAUUGUUAGGCUUUUUUUCCAAUAAAAUUAUUAAUUCACGCUCUUAGGAAAACUAACAUGGUGGUGUACUUAAAUUCAAGAGAUAUAGUGAAAUAUAUGGAGUGGGUGUGAUGUUAUAUUAGCUAUUGUGGUUGUGAUGUUAUAUAGUUAGGUGUCUGACAUGGGGUUCAAUAUGAAAUGCGCUACAAGACCAACAAUUUGAUAGGAGAGUAGCAUCUAUAUAAUAAGUACUAAACAUAUAUAUUUUUCAUCUGCCCAUUAGUUUUUUCUUCUUAAUAUUCUAUCAGAAAAAACUAUUAUUUGAAUAAUCACAUUUUGAAUGAGGCAUAAUCAAAUCUUAAAAUGAUAGAUCUGGCCCGAAAAAAAUUCUCUUUCAUAUAUUGUAUAUUUUACUUAGUAGAGUUUGUAACACGUAAGUAUCACACUAAGUCCUAUGAACAAUUAUGGUUCUUUUAAAUUGUGGACAAGAAAAAAACAAUAGUUCUUUUCAAAAAUUGGCAUAUUUACAUUUUUUUGACAUCAUAAGAGUAAUUAUAUGAGUUUAAUGAAUAUGCACUAACAGUGUAAAAUAGUUUUACACAGACAUCCAAUUGAAUUCCGCCAAAUCAGAAAAUAUCUUAUUCUUUUAAUUAAAAUUAAAGUCAAAUGUAAUUAUCUCUCCUAUGUGACAUGCUUUGAUUAGAUGACUGUGUAAAACUAUUUUACACUGUCAGUGCAUAUCCAUUAAACUCUAAUUAUAUUGCAGAAAAUUAAUUGUUAUGUAAUAAAAUAACUUCAUUAAAAUAACACACUUUUUGUCAAAAAAUAAUAUACUCUGGAAAAAAGAAUCAUCACAGGAAAGGUCUUGAAAAGCGGCCCGGUAAAGGCCCAGGAACAACCAAUUGGGCUGUUCAAAUCCUAGCCCAACUUUUGACCAACAGCCCAACCUCAGUUGUUCAUUUUUAUUUUCCCUCUAUUACACUAUGGGAGAACUGCUCUUCUUCUGAUUCUACAGCAUUAUAUUUGGAUCUUUACAAUAGGUCAAAGGAAAAUUUAUAAUAAAAUUAUGUAACAUGACCUCUAUCUUCUUUUGGCAUGCAUACCAAGCAAUGUGAGAAUUGUUUUAUCAUUACAAUUAUCUUCAACAAUCUACACCUUGAUUAUAAUAGAUGUUUAUUCUACCUUCAUUGACUACAUCAAUAAUCAUAGAUUUAACUGUCUACAAUGAUAAUAAUUUCACUACACCGAAGAACAAAGUUAGUAAAGAGCUUAAAGUAUAUCGAGUCUAGACUUUUUGAAACAAACAAUUUGGGUCUAUUGACCUCUCUCGUCUUUUACCAUCUUAGGUUAUGUGAGACUUCUUCAAGAUGUUCCAUUGACUUUUUGCUUCUUUUACCAUAUUAGGAAGUGUGGAACCAGCUACAUUCAUUAAAAUUGACCCAACAAUCUAGAUCUUAAAUAUAAUGGAUAUAUCUUACACUUUCAUUGUCUACACCAAUAAUUAUACCUUCCAUUAUUUACACGACAAUCAUCUCACAACCCUCUAAAACAAGAGUUAAAGAGAAAUUAAGAUCAAAGUUAAAAACAAGAUUAUAGAUAAAGCUUGAAGUAUUUUCAAUUGAUGCAUCUUAAAACAAGAAAAUAAGUGUAUAUAUAUUAUAUAAUCUUGACCUCCCUUAUCUUUACCGUCUUAAGCAAUGUGAGACUUCUCAAAGUUAUUUUAUUUGCACCCAUCUUCCUUUACAUGCUAUGUAAUGUGAGUAUUGUUCUAUCAUUAGUUAUUAUAAUAAACUUCAACAAUCUUCAUUUUGAUUAUAAUGAAUGUAUUUUCCGUCAUUACUGUCUACAUCAAUAAUUAUAUCUUUUAUUGUUUACACCGAUAAUUAUAGUUCAUAUUUAUUGGUGGUUGAACUUCCAUGAAUAAUUAGAUCAAUAUGCAAAGAAAGCAAAGAAAAAUGGGUUUCUUAUAAGUUUUGGAGUUGGCGUCCAUGCCAGUAUUUAUCAGUGCGAUGGGAACUUUUAUGGGAAUUGAAUAUUUUCAUAAUCUUCUUUUAGCAGAGUUUCAGAAAUCUUUAAACAAGGUAAGAGAUGAAAACUAUAAAAUGUACUAAAUAUACCCAAGUUUCAAUGCUCACUCAUCCAUUCCUUUCCUUAAAGAACAAAAGAGGCAAAUUCUGUGUUGUCCUAUGUAGGGUAAAAGUGACAUUAAGGUUCCCUAGAAUGACAAUGUUCUAAGAUAGCUCAGAUUUCAGUCUUCAAUAUGUAACACCUAAUAAUCAAAUCCCCAUAUAUACACUCUAGAGAGGUAAGGUUCCUCCCACAAAUAAUGUUUAGCAUCAAAUAGAAAUUUCUUACAUUGGCAUAGAAAAGAUCAUGGGAAAUGAUAUUGUAUACCAUAUAGUUAACCAAAUGAGAAUACCAGGGAACUUAUGAAAUUGCCAUCAACUUCUCAUACGAGAAAGUCUCCUUUUUAAUCUCUAUACUCUUGAGAGGUGAUAUAAGCUCAGUUUCUUUCUUAUAUUGAAUCUAAAUAUGAAACUCAUAAGAAGUGAAAUACUGAAAUCUAUAUGAUUAGCCUGGGUUUGAAAUCUUAUUUGGUUAACAAAUUUUAAAAGCUGAAUAGGAAGUGUAAACACUAAACAAUAACCUUUGUUUUCUUCUUCCUCCAAAAGCAAAUUAUUUCUCAAUCUUACUCGAUCAGCAAUGAUCUUCUCCUGUGCUGAUCAAAAUUGGACGUUUCUCUCUGACAAAGCAACUUUGGCCUGAUAUAACACAUAAAAAGACUUGGUGUGACCCAAAACAACAAUUGGAUCUAUAAUUUCGAGCAAAAAGUUGGAUGCCAGAAAAUUAAAAAUAAAAUUAAAAUUCACAUGAUAUGUUCAUUGUUUAUGCUUCUGUGACCUUUGCUGUUGACAUUGGAUGACUAGGAACUUUUCAUCACAUGGGGAGAGGCUAGGUAGGGCCAAUCAAAGAUCUCAAUGUCAAAAUCAUUGCUCUCAAAUCCAUGCAAUCGAACAAAACGCAUAAAAGUAUGAAACCCAUCAUUGAUGUGAUUAAGAACGCUUGAUUGCAACAAUGUAGAUGCAUGCUCUUAUUACCGUUAAGGUGGGGGACAGAAAUACUUAAUUUCAUCAAAGUUAUUUAUCCUGUAUAUGCUUUAUUUCUCCGAUGAUGAUUCAUGGACAUAGAGGGUUAGACGACACACAAGCGAUAUAGAUAUAGGUAAAUUGUGACGGUUUUUAAACAAUCAUAAUCUAUAGAGUAUUUAAAAAUAAUGAUCUUGACGGUUUUAGAACACUGUAGGAAUCACUACAAAUUUAUGUGUUUAUUAGAGAAAGGUGAAAACCCUGGGGAACAGGUUACCUACUCUUAACGAUCAAAGCUAACCCUUUCAUUCCGAAUUCUUUUAUUCGGAAUGAAUCAAAUCUCCCCAAGUAGGAUUCGAAUUUCGUGUUUAGCAAUAAUAAAAGUCACUACUAAACGCUAUGCCGAUUGAAUGUCGCUCACUUCCGGUUCCAUGGACUUUUUUUUCUCUAAUACUAUGAUACACCACUACUAACAGUAACACUGACUCUAGAGAAAGGAUAAUUUAACCUGAGUUUACACGCAAUGUUUUGUCUGGUAGUGUUUAUCAUUAUUCCAUCUCCUUUAAUCAUCCCAUCCUCUUUUUUGUUUGCUUUGUCUAUUUAGUACAGUGUAUGAGAUGUUUUUUUUUUACUUAAAUGAACUGUACAUAGAUUUCUAAGUACUGUUUAACUGUGGCUUUAUAUUUAUGAUUGGUUUUGUGCACGAUUUUUAAUUUUAAGCUAGACCCACAUAUUAAGGACAAUUAGUGAAGAACAUAAUUGGAAGAGGCUAACUAGUAAUGGAAACCAAAUAAGUGUCACUGAAUGAUAUAUAGGUUCUUUGCUUUCACUCAAUUCUGAAGUUGAUAGAUCCUGAACAUUUGUUACUGACUUACUGUAUAGCAAAAUCAGUUUCCUAUUGAGUGAUUCUUCAUGUCCGUCCAUUUACCUGUUGUUCUUUGUGACCAAUCCUAGUAAAAAGUCAGUCAUGGAUGUCGUCUUAUGUCCUGUCAAUCUGUCAUGUAGUUUGUGUCUCACACUAGCUAUUGUGUGCAAUAUUUCCUGGAAUAGUUACAUUAACAUAUUCAUCCAUCUUUUCGUAAAUAUUAGAAAGGCAGGCAUUUCACCACAUUCUGCACUCCUGCGAGCCAGUUGUACAUUAGUAAUUUUAUGAUUAAUCAUGAGCAAACACUGCAAUGCUUACAUCAUCAUUCUACAUAAUACUAAUUGACAAUAAUUUUGGGAUAGAUAACCAUAGCAUAAAAGCUACUAACAGUUAUGGUUGGACAGCUCCAGGCCUAAUAAAAGUCAUAUUAGAGUCUCAUAUUUUUAAUGUGAAACUUAAGUCUAAUUAUAACAUCUCUGAAUAUUUAUAAUAAAUACAAUUUGUUAUGUAAUAAGAGAGAAUUUGGAUGUGAUUCAUGGAGUAGUGUGACACUGUGACACAUCAAGUGUGCACACACGCCAUGACCAUUUAAAUCCUCUAUAUUGACUGUGUAGUUCUCAUGCCACUGAGUCAUUCCAAUUUGGUGGUUAUCCAUUUAUGAUUGAAACCAAAAAAAAGAGGCAAAAUUGAGGAGAUAAGAUAACACAUGCCAUGCAUUCUAUCUACUAUGCAAGAGUUUUGGCUGUAUACGAUUUCCAAAAUGAUGAGAGAAAAAAACUUGUCAUUUGAAUUUAACAAUAGUAUCUUUGAUCAGCUAUUAAAUAAAAAAAAAAUGAAUCCACAAAAAGUAAACAAAUAAGUAGCUUGUAAAACCAAGAUAUGAGCUACGAAAACUGUCAAACAGAAAAGAACAACUGAGAAAUCACUGUGGCAGCAUAUGUUAGUGUGGCCCUUUCUCCUCCAACUUAUACUUACAGGGAAGAGAAAAAAGCUUGGCUAGUCAAACAGUGCCUUAAAGUCCAGAGCAGUUAGCCUGUCCAUGAUUUAAUUGUGCCUUGGUGGGGCACCUAAUCCUUGGAUUGGUUAGAGCAAUAUAUGAUCCAUUAUAUCAUGGGAUUUAUUAUUGAUCAUGAUGGUAAACAACAUGAGGUUGACAUAUUUUUUUUGUCUUUUGACAAAAUAAACUCCUUUGAGAAAUUGUAUCAAACACUUCUAAUAAACUAAAUGACUUUUUUAAAUUUUGGACUUAAUUAUAAAAAUCUAGCUCGUAUACCAGCCACUAAUUAACACUUUGUUGGUCCUGCAAUUUCACAAUUUGCCAAGCUCAAGAGUGUGUUAAAAUAUUUAGCCUAUGAAACUUGUUUCUAAUCAAAUAGAUAGUUAUAACUAUUACCAAACUCAACUUUGAUUGUCUUAGACACAAUUGUGCCCUUUACUUAUGGGAAAGGUCACAGCUGGAUGGUUGGAUAACCCUGAUCAAAAUAGUAGCUGACGACUUAAAAAAAGUUGUUGAAGUAUUUUUGCUUAUAUCUUUAAUUGCAAAAUAUGAUCCACGAAAAAGUCAAAUUUGUUCUCUUGAAUAGACUUAUUCUAAAUAUCUAAAAUUUAUUCAUAUAACAAAAACCUGCUGAUAUACUUUAACCAAAUAGUUUAAUAAUUUACAUUUCUCUCUAAUAAAAGGAGUGCAGUAGUGAUUAAAUAUUGAAAAAUGCAAUACACACACCGAUAUAUAAAUAGCAUUUCGAAUCUGCAUACCUUAUUUUAUGACUUAAAUAUAUAAAAUGUCUUAUUUUUUCAUAAAUAAUAUUAUACCAGUUGAUACAGACAAGAAGUGACGUGUAAUCGUGCAUGCACGAAGGAUUAUUCUUAAAUAUCACGUUUAUUUCUAUUGCUUUUAAUCAUUUUAUUGCAAUUAUUUUCAACAGUUUACCUAUCACAGCAGGGACAUAAUUAUAAUUUUCAAAAAUUGGCUUUCAUCAUUUUUUUAUUUUUAAAAGAGGAAUAGGAAACCUGUAAGGAUAAUGUCACAAGUUUGAACCUCGACAAUGUCAUCUGUUAAAAAUGAUGAAGACACAAGUUCGAACCUAAAAAAUGUCAUCGGUUAGAAGUAACAUCUACAAUUUUCUAAAUGAAUUUAAAUCCAUCAAAACGCCUAAAAAAUUAAAAAGAAAGAUAGGGACAGCAAGAUGACUCUGUAUAAAACAAAUACCAGCCUCAGCAGCUAAUACAUACAUACCCACUUGCCAUGCUUCAUGCUCAUUCCCAUCCUCUCUACUCUAGGCUUUAUCCAUUGCUUCACUUUUCUUGGUACCCCAUGUGCUAAAAGCAACUUCUCUUUUCCAAUAAUCUUCCCUUUAUGUAAAUUCCCUGCAAUUUUCAAAUCAGACAUUUUGGUUUUUACUUAGUAGCCUCAUCAAUCCAUAAAAUUGACACUUCGAGUAAAUUUCACUCUUUUUCUGUCUCUCCUUAACAAGAAACAAAUGGUUCUUUGUGGUGUUCAACUGGAAUUAGCUGAUGUGUAUAAUAAGUCCUUUCUAUUUAUAUGAUCAUUCAAGUCACCUUCUUUCAGCAGAUAAAUAGAUAAAGAUCAAAGAUUCUAGAAAAAACUUCAGAAAAUCUGCUGCUGCUGCUGUCUGUCAUGAAGGAGUUUCCAUCUUGUUUUGGAGAAAAUGGUGUUCAGGUUGUGGAUUCAUCUUCUUCAAGUACCACAAGAGGAGCUCAAAAUGUGGUUACUUGUAUCUAUCAGUGUAAAUUACAAGGUCGUUCAUGCUUGAUCACAGUCUCUUGGACCAAAUAUCUGAUGGGUCAAGGGUUAAGUGUGGGAAUAGAUGAGUUGGGAAAUCAUUGCCUCUGCAAGGUUGACAUAAAGCCAUGGUUGUUCCAAAGAAGAAAAGGGUCUAAGAAUUUGGGAGUUGAAUAUGGUAAAAUUGAUAUACUUUGGGAUUUGAGUUCUGCUAAAUUUGGUUCUGGGCCAGAACCAUUGGAGGGAUUUUAUGUAGCAGUUUUGUUCAACAAAGAGAUGGUGUUACUCCUAGGUGAUCUGAAAAAGGAGGCAUGCAAGAAGAUUGAGCAUCACAGGGUUAAUGCUCACUUUGAUCAUGCUAUUUUUCUUGCAAAGAGAGAACACAUUUUUGGUAAGAAAUUUUACAGUGCAAAGGCUCAAUUUUGUGACAAGGGUCAAGUGCAUGAUGUGAGAAUUGAGUGUGACACUCUUAAUGAUCCUUGUCUUGUGAUUCGAAUUGAUAGCAGGACAGUGAUGCAGGUGAAGCAACUCAAUUGGAAGUUCAGGGGGAAUCACACCAUUUUGGUGGAUGGAAUUCCAGUGGAAGUGUUUUGGGAUAUUCAUAAUUGGCUCUUUGGAAAUACUAUAGGAAAUGCAGUUUUCAUGUUCCAAACCUGCAUUUCAACUGAGAAGGGCCAAUCUGCUUCUGAUCCUUCUGUUCUGAAAUGGGCUUAUUCUCAUGAGUUCAGGGAUUCCCAGUUGCAAGGUCUUGGAUUCUCUCUCAUUUUGUAUGCUUGGAAAAAUGAAUAGUCAGUGGAAGAGUUUUAAUCUUAUUCUUGAGUACUAAUGUGUUAUUUCCAGCCACAGUUUUCAACAAUCAUGUGAUCAGAUAUUUAGAUUACAUGAAACUGCUAAAUCCAUCCCUGCCCUUCUAUAUUAUUUCUUGUUCUCUUUUUCCUUGUAUAUACCAGCUCUUUAGUUGGAAAAAUAGUGAAUCAAAUUCACGACUCAGCUUGCAACCUGCCGUUGUUCUGAUCCAGUUUGCAUCGUACAUCCUUCUUCCCCAACAUCAUUUCCCUUCUAUUAGCACUUCUGUAAUCUCUUUUAGCAGUUACUAAAUUUCAGAAUCUGUUUCUUGCAGAAAAUGGUUAUUAGAUAUAUGGUUUACAAAUAUCUGAAAGGUGUGUGCAACACAAACUUUCUAAGUGUUAUCAUUGUUGAAAACAAGCUUUUGUUUCAUAGAGAAAAGAACAAACAUUGCAUAGCAGCUUCAUGGAAUUUCAGAUGUUUGACAGUUUAACUAUAAGUACAAGCUUCUAAUGUUUGUUUUCAAUAAUCACUGAAAAAAUAAUAGCAUGAUGAUAUUGGACAAGACUGAACUCCUGCUGAAAGUUCCACUUCGACAAUACUAAAGAAAUUCAAGUUUUCAUCAACUCUUUUCUCAGCCAUUUGGAGAACCUCUUUCUAUUCAUUCAAAGGAAAAAGUGAAUGCAUAAAAGAGAUUUUCUUACCUCCUAACUCGGAUGAUUAAGGCAAUAUUCGGAUACCAUAGCACCAAAUGAAUGUUGACCCUUACUUCAAGACAAAGUUAACAAAACUGUUCUUUUAAUUUGUGAUAAAAUCGUUUAUGUCACACUUAAUUGUUAUCGAAAUACACUAAAUAUUUAGGGUAGAUAUCUUGAAAGAGCUAUUAAAUGAUCAAGUUAUACCCUUGGGAAGAAAAGUCAACUCUAUUUUUUCAUGAAUUCUGUAAUUGAUUUAUUAAGAAAGAGAUAAUAUGAAUUUCAUAUCAUAAUUGCAUUUUUUCCCUACAAACCAUCUUUGGAUGAGACUCAGUGGUAAGAGUAGUUGUCAACUAUAUCUGUUUUCAAAUAUUUUUCCUUAGUACUGCAGUCCAGGGAAGAAUGAAAGUGCUUCUAAAUGAGUUUGUCUUCCACCCUAUUGAUGGCUUCAAAGUUCAAACUAAACAAACUUAAUUCUUGACUCUGCAAUAAAUUGUUUGACUGCUUUUUGCCUUUUUCUUUUUAAUGCUAAACUGAAAAUUUAGCUUCCCUUUCCUUUCGCUUUUAACUUCUAUUCAAUGUAGCAUCUCCAAGCCCUUCUUUUUAAACCUCUGCUAAUUCUGGACCAAUGUUGGUGCACAAAGCUAUGAGUAUGCUAUACUUGACAGAUAAGUAAGUGCAACAUAGCUCUUGCAGAGAAAUGUUAAUUUUCAUAGAUUCUAUGAACAAUUCUCAAAAACUAAUCUAACCAAAUCAUAGGUUAGCACAAGUGUGCCCAAGAAUGUGAGGACAAGGUCAAAUAUUUAUACUCCCAGGGUGUUAAUUGUCAAGACUUGUACUUUAACCUCUGAUCUCCAAGCCAAUUUACAGUAAUGUGAGAGAAGGCCUUAACAGCUACUAUUCUGCAAUUGAAUAUGAAAAUACAAGCAGAACUGCAGAAGCAGAGAAGAGAAAACAAGGGAGGUGAAAAGACUAGCAGAACAUAGGAGUAGGAAUGAUUCGAAUCACUGCUGCUUGCUUUGGCCAAAUGUGUCUUCAAAACCAUUUGUAACUCUUUUUCUGCGCUCAGCAAUCAUCUCUGAGUAUCCCUGACAAUGAACAAUAAAUAUUAUAUGUUUAACUUUAAGAUCAGUUAUCUUGUUUAUUUUUCUAUUUUCUGCCCAGUUUCAACUGAAUGUAAUUGCAGCAGAACCUACUCCCAGAUUCGAAAUAUCAUUAUUAAAGUGGCAAACAGUCCAAAGUACGGUAAGUCCACAAGCUACACUUAGAGGCUUCUCCUCAUAAGUGAUUAUGGAACUUUAAACCGCAGAGGCGCAGAACCAAACACAAUGUACGUAGAACAUGGGUGAUUUGUGGGAAUAUCUUGCAUCCCAUUCUUCCUAAUUUAGAGAAAGACGCGAAUGAGAUCAAUAUAAAUAUCUGACAUUGACCUGAACAAAUCUAUACAAACCAAAAUUGUUUCAUUGUGGCUAAACCUGGCAUGUAUAAGUGUGGGGGAAAUCAUGAAAUUUUUAUCAUUGCAUGUGCAUCCCCAAAGAGCUUCAGGGUAACCUUAAAUACCUAUUGGAUAUUAAUAACCUCAAUAACAUACAAACUAACUGAUAUUCCUAUCCCAAAAAAAAAAUCACUAAAACAUAACUUCUUUUCAAGGUAGAGCAGAACUUGUAUGAUGAGAUAACUAUUAUGUGCCAUAAAGCAGAACAUGCUUAGAAAGAACAAGAAAAAUUUAAGUAAAAUAGAUAGUGUAGAUGAUAUCAAACCUUAGGGUAAGAAUACAAGAAGAUGUACCACCAUGCUCCUAUUAGUAGUGAUAUGAAUGAAGUGACAAUCACUGAUUGCAAAACUAACCAGCUAAUGCCAAUAAUUAAUACCCCUGUCAGUGUAAUUGUCCAUGGCUGACACCUAUACAAGAAAAUAUGAGAAAUGAUGAACAAAUAAACUAAGGCAAGCAUAAACAAAACAACUUCCAAACAAGGAAUUAGUACAGUUGAAUGGUUCAAUAAAUAGCCUAAUAGCAUGAACAGGUACUUCAUUCAUCUGUCAUUAUAAUAACAACCACGUGUUAGGAAACUCGUUUAAGCCAAAAUCAUGAUGGACAUAAGCAAAAGCUUAGGAAGUUAUUUCUAUCUACCAUGAUUUUAGCUUCACCGCAGUUCUCAAACAUGCACUUGAGCAUAUACAACAAAGAGAGUACAAAUCCUACACAAAACAUACAUUAAAAGUACAAUAAUUUUAGUCACAUUAAGCCCAGAAUUACAAAAUUCAUGGUUUAGUUUUUUAUAUUUAAUUGAAAAAAAUGAUUUUUUUGCAUAUUGGGGUCACAAACAAACACAUGAGAUAGGAUAGGAGUGAAAUCAAUGAAACUUGAAAAAUGGGGAAAAACUGACCAAGAAGGUUUAGUGUCCCAGACAGAGUCAUACUCGAGGGAGAGUUGAUUGAGGUAACCCUCCAUAUCUUCGACCACAUUUUUUUCUUCGAAGAACAAAGGGUCUUCUGAGUCGGUGGGGUUGUUGAAACCAAAGACUAUGGUUUUGUUGUGGGGUUUUACGGAGGAAUUGAAGGAAGAAGAAGAAGAAGAAGAAGAAGAAGACAACAACGUGGGAUUGGAGAAAUGGGUUUGAUGAGUUGUUAGAGUACGAGGUCGAUGGAGGAGAAGAAAUGGCGACGCCAACAGUGACACUGUCGUCAUUUUAAGCAGUUCUUUUUGUUUAUCUGAAAGAAAAGCUUCAAUGAUGCUGCAAAAUAAAAUUAAAUGCCAGGAAUAAUUAUUCAUUGCAAAAUUAAUUGUUAAAAUUGUGAUAAAUUAAUUAAGGGUGUUAUCUUUAGUGCGCUAGAAUUUAGUUUCUCGUGCGUAGCAAAGUUGCAUUUUAGUUUCUACACUAUUGAAUUAGUUGAUUUUAGUCAUCGUCUCAAUCUUAGCUUAGGCGAAAUGCUCACGUGUCCAAUGACGGCUUAUGUGGCACGCCUCAUCACAUGUCAUCUCAUGUGAAAGAUGGCGUGAGAGUGAGAGAUGACGUAAUGAGCGACGUGUCAUUGAGGACUAAAAAUCAAAUUUUAUGAAAUUUAGAUGGACCAAGAACCCUAUUUAGUCUAUUGAAUUAGAUUUUUUUUCCCAACAUUCAUACUAUUUUCCCCCAACCUUAGCGGAUUUCACCAUAAACACCAAAAUCCGAACUCCAAUUUUUCCUCCAUGACAUGUUCUACCUCAACAAUCUUUGCCCCGCCACCCGAACCCUCUUCACAACCACGCCCUUAUGUCUCUACUCAUGUUGAUUUGUUCAUUUAGGCUGGAAUAUGAAACUAUCAUCAACCCCAAAGUCACUCUCAUUUUCACUAUUACCAAAGUGAGCAUUAACAGUAGGCACACCAUCACUUAUGUACAUAACUUGACCAGUUGUGCUUAGAAGGCUUCACAAUAGCCAUCAACCUUGAGAACCUUCUAACUUUGUCCCCUUGCCCAAUAGUAACAUUUCCUCUACAUGUCUCCUUCCUUUUUCCUCCCACGACACAUUUCUUCUUGUACCAACAAUCUCUAUCUUUUUACUCCCAACAUCAACCCUCUUCAAUUUUACCUCUAGCAUCAGCCCCACCACAUUCAUUUGCACCUUGUCCCUCAACCUCUUUCUUUUUUACCUCAUAGCAACAACCUCUUCAUUUGUUCCCUGCCCCAAACCCUUUUCUUUUCGCCCCCAUCACUAGCUUCUUCACUUGUUCGUUUCCCCUUAGUCGCACCCCUCUUAGUCAGUUUAUACUCACACCUUCACAUUCGACUAGGGUUGGUAAAAGCAAGUAACUUGAAGCAUUUGACAUUUCAUCAACUUCAUGUUCAAGAAAUAUAGAAACUUCAACCUUGUUAUACAUGGCAUAUAUAUCCAGCAUCAUAACAUCAUUAUCACUCAACAACUCUCUAAACUUGCUCUAAAUUGCAUCUUCAUUCGUUCUCCACCAUAACAUAAACUUCAUAUCAUACCUUAGAUCUUCACCAAAUCCAAACAUUAGGAAAAAAAAUGACCACAUGUCAAUAUCCAACCUAUGGAUAUCAUGAAUCUCACCUACCCUGCAAGACAAGUUAGACUCAUGCACAAAAGACCGUAAAUGGUUCACCGCUACUGUAAAAGUCAUCCUACAAUAACAAUGACGACCAUGAUCAGUAUUUGAACAUGAUUUUAUCAAUGGCGACUGAGUAUGUGACGUACCUUGCACAGAUGAGUAUUUGAAACCGUAAAGAUGCCAUAAGCUCUCCGAUAAUGACGAACGAGAUACGAGAUUGAAGAAAACUCAAAUGCUUCACAACAACAAUUGCGAUCAAUAGAGGGAAAGUGAUGACAAGGUUCUUGAGGCUUUUUUGUUUUCAUCGAGGCGAGAAAAUCGAGGGACAUACAACCUCAAACCUUUUUCUUGUAUCAAUUUUGCAAAAAAUUAGGUUAGUGUAAUUUGGGAUUGAUUUAGGGUUAGAUAAGUUAAUUAGGGAUUUAAGUGUUUUAAUUGGUUGAGGUAUAAUUUACUUAAACCCACUCGGGUUCUGGAUACGACGCAGCUGCUAGCCCGGCCUGUUCCAGCGGCGCCUCCUCCCUCUCCGGCCGCGCCUCCUCUUCUCCACUGCUGCGGUGCUCGUUUGGCCUCUUCAUCAAAGGUAAGAAUUCUGCAAUUUUUUGGCCUCUACUCGUGUUGCUUCUGCUCGUUUUGGCCUCUGCUUGUUUCUUCUGCUAUUGGCUAAAUUUUCCCUGCUCUGUUUGUAUUCUGCAAUGUGGAAAACACCCCUUCCUAUUUUUUCCUUAAGCUCCCUCUCCAAUGCCUGUUGCUUCGACAUGGUUCUAUAAUAUAAGUACUUAUUCUAGUUUUAUGCUUUAAAGAUUAAACUGUGUAGUGAGUUAAGUUAUGUGGAAAGUUGAUUGCAUAAUUUGUAUUUAAUUUAUGUAUAAUCAAUUUUUUCGUCUUGUUAGAUGCAUCAAUAAGUGUGUGAUGAGUUCUUAAGUUGAUUGGGUUGGAGUGAUGCUGGUGUUAGAUUGUUCUAUUGUUAGCAGGUUUAAAAUCAACAAAAAAAAAAAAUGAAACUUUAGGUGGUUAAUUGCUGAAGUUGGUGUUUUGAAAAUGGAUUGAACUCACGGGAUGGUAUUGUACUAGCUAAUUGUGCUUUGGUAUUGAAGUUUCAUAUGAAGCGGCCUUUCAUCCAUUGCAGUACCCUUUUGGAGUUAUUUUAUUGUUUUAAUGGCUUAAAAUCUAGUGCUAAUUGGGCUUUAGUGAGUAGGGAACUUAAGCAGAGCUUUAAUUGUUGUUAUUGUUUUACUUGGACGUGCGGUUCAAAGUUCUCUGAUACUUAACCAGAGUUUUAUAUGGUUCGGGAGGAUGAUGAAUUGUCAUGUAGGAUUAUUAGCCUAGUUACUCAUAAGCUUGUUUUACUAUAUCUUAGCCUAUUAGCAUAUAAGCCUUCUGGCCUGUUUAUAAACAACCUUGUUUUAGUAUAUCAUAACUUGCUAGCCUAUUUAAAGGUCUUAUUAUGAAAUGUGCUUUUUAAUAGGUUGUCAGGCCAGACCAGAUCUGAAAAAAAUAAUAUGACAAGUAAUUGGCCAGGCUUGGGCCUUAUAUUUUUAAGUAGGCUAGACCUUUUUACAUAAAUUCCGUCCUGGCUCCUCAAUGGAGAUGUUAGAUACCGCGGUUGACCGUAGCAAACAUGCUAGUAACACUAACAUCACACAUCACUUAGACCAUGUUGCGAAUUUUGAGAGAAAAAAUAAAAAAAACUCGUGUUUCCAAUAGCUUGAAAGUUAUUUUAGAGUAACCUAACUUGCUUUCAAAAGACACUUACUCUGCCUCAUUUAUAAUACAAGGCCUCAGUGAAGAACCCAUCCGGGUCGGGGUGCUCUGCUCUGUUAAGAUGGAAAGCAGCAUGAGCAGCAGCAACAGCAACAACCAGUGGAGAGCUGAGGAAGCAAUUGGUGGCAACACUGAAGCUCUUGAAGCCCUCAGAGAACUCAUCAUAUUCCCUCAACGAUUCUCUCAUGAAGCACGAAAGCUUGGCCUUAAAGUUCUGUUUUCCCCUCCCUUUCUCAUUCAUGUUUUUACUUCUUUUAAUCACAUUGGUCUUGUUCAUUUCUAACCCCUAGUUUGUCUUUUUCCAUUUGAUUUGUUCUUUUCUUCCACCAGUGGCCGAGAGGGUUGCUGCUUUACGGUCCACCAGGCACUGGAAAGGUAUUUUUUUUUUAGAAUAAUGGAUCCCUUUGUUAACUGAUUAACUCAAUAUGGAACGGAUAAUAAGGUGCUAUCUUUGUUCAUUUUCCAUUAUGUUAGUGUGUGUUUUUAGCCAUGUGUCAUCACGUGAAAUGGAGAGCCAUUUUAUGCUGUGUUUAAAAAUUGACUUGGUGGAGUUGUGCUGAUUUGUCUUUUAUUGUUAUUGUUCUACUGCAUAACUUCACAGCCUUUUUUGUCUUCCUCAUUGCAUGUGAGUGACCGUGCCUAGUUGACUAGGUGUUUGUUUGUCAUAACAGAUGGUUUGUGAGAGUUUUGUUAACAAUAUUACGGUUUUACACUUAUGUAUGGAUCUUUUAUUGACUAAAAGAGUAUGUUGAGAGUGAAAGAUUUUCUGUGAGCAAAAGACAAGCUGCUGUGUGAUGAUAAGUUGAACCAUCAAAUGAUGAAGUAGUGUUUGUUAAAUUCAGUUAUACAUAACAGUCUACUAUGCUGCACUCUUUCACAAAGUGCCCAGUGGAGUGGAGCAAAUUCGUUAUUUAAACUUCAUUCAAAUGUGCUGCAUCUGUCUUUCAAAAUCUUCGAGUAACUUAAUGUGAAUAAAAUAAUUAUAUGAUGUUCUCAGAUAGUGUGAUUAUGCUAUGAAUCAAACUUAUAUUUUGCUUUGCUUAUUGAUUUAAAAUGACUUAUACAUAUAUGUCUGUGAAUGUGAUAACAGACAAGUUUAGUACGAGCAGUUGUUCAGGAAUGCGGGGCACAUUUGACAAUUAUCAGGUUCUUUUCUUUUUAAUGUCUAGUUUUGUGGAUCUUUUUUUCCAAAGUUUUAUGAUCCGAGUCAUUUUCUUGUUAUUAAUUGUCUGUUUAUUUUCCAGUCCACACUCUGUUCAUAGAGCACAUGCCGGUGAAAGUGAGAGAAUUCUCCGUGAAGCUUUUUCAGAGGCAUCAUCUCAUGUAGCCUUGGGCAAGCCAUCAGUUAUAUUUAUAGAUGAAAUUGAUUCACUCUGUCCUCGUCGGGAUUCCAAGUAUGGGACAAUUGGUGGAUUAUAUGGAUAAAUUUAAUUGUGAACACAAUUUUAUGAAAAACGAGAAAAUAUAUUAUGAAAACUGUAUCUCAUAAGAAAAAUCUCCAGUCUAUCCACAACAUAUUGCCAUUGGCUUCCCGAAAUAUGUGGUCCUGUGGCUUUAGCUAGUUCUUUAGAAUUUUAUCUAUUCAUGAAGCAAGCUUAUUGAUGCUAUUAUUUCAUAUUGUCUACAUGCAGAAGGGAGCAAGAUGUCCGAGUUGCCUCUCAACUCUUUACGCUGAUGGACUCAAAUAAACCAUCCUCUUCUACACCAGGUGUAGUUGUGGUUGCAUCUACUAACAGGUUAACUAUUUCUUUCCCAAAGAUUAUUUUUUAAUUUAUUGAAAUGGGAGUUAAAGAGGUGUUAUGUCUCUUGGUUCUCUUAUGCAAGUUAUAAGGACCUGUACAAAGAUACACAUAGUUGUAGGAAAAACAGUAGGGGAAGAGAGAAAUGAAGUUUUUAGUUGUUCUGUUAUGGAGAGAGAGGGUUCAAGGAGAAUAUCUCCUUUAGCAGGGCUAUGCCCUAACUGCUGAGAAAUAUCAGUUAACAAACUAUUUUUCCAGCCUAACCAUUUUUUUUUACCAUUCCUGCCCCCCUACUUUUUAAUUUCCCAGCUACUGUUAUAACCAGUAGUAUUAACCCCUGGACUCCUUAUAUUUAUUCCUUUGAAAUAAACUCUCCAGAAAUUUUUUGGUUCUGUCUUGGUGAUCUGGGUUCUUUGAAAUACUGAUUGUGACCUGGAUAUCAGAGAAUAAUUUUGGCCCCUUGCAUGUGAUCCUUGGUUCAUUGAGUAAUUCUUUCAAUCACAUUCUGUCGCAAAGUUCAUGGUUUGAGCUACCACUUUAUGUUUCUUGCCUCUCCAUGUAACCUGAUUUUCCCAUAUAUGGUUAUAAUAGCCUGAGGUACAUCUGCGAUCUUAGAGUUGAUUGGGGCCAGUUCGAAGAUAUAAGUGCACGAAGAAUGGUACAGAAAGUGAGAAAUGGGGAACUAAAAUUCUGUUAUGGAGAGAGGAUACAGAUUGAAUAUCUGUUAGGAGGACAGAAUGGUAUCUGCUCAGAAGAAUAAAGGGAAAAGUAAGAUAAUUAGUUUUGAUAGUUGGAGCAAUUAGUUUGUUAGAGGGAUUAGUUACAUAAGUAAAUCGGGGGGGGGGGGGGGUAAGGGUAGAGACCCUUCUUGUUCUUUCUUUCUAUCUUUCAUUCUUUUCUUCAAUUCUAGUCUGGAAGUCCAUAACAUGAUAACAAUUUCUUCCUUACAACUGAGAAAUCUCAAUUAACUAUUCCAACCUAACCUAUUCUGUAUUCAUCCCAACUAUUUAAACCCCCUAACUUCAAAGCAUCCCCUGCUACUGUUAUAGUCUCUAUAACUAAGUAACCCCUGGACUCCUCACAUUUUUUCCUUCAGGAAUAAACUAACAUCAACAGACAAUUUCCACGUCUUGUAAUAUUAUUUUAUUUCGUGCCCAACUUUCUAAACCUGUGCACUCUGUUAGAAAUCUGAUAUUGCGAAUUUGAAGUUUUCAUAUAAUGGUUUGAAGAAGUUAUGUGCUGUAUAAUUUAUUGUGUAACUUUAGCUAAUUGUGCAUCAUCAUCAUCAUCCUACAUUUGAUGGUUGCAAUGGAAUCCAUCAAGUGCUUUAAGUUGUUUUACUUAAAUAGACAAUGAUUGGUCUAAGUUGUUUUUCGGUAUCUAGAUAGAUUAUUGAGAGUCGCGUUCUGUUAUUUAAUAUUCUUUUAUACAUUUCAUUCUUUAGUUUUCAAUGAUGCCUGGAACCUGUAAAUGAAUAUUAUGGGUUCAUGUGACUCUCUUAAAACACAUGGCUGUGAUCUUAUAAUACAUAUAAUCUUUAAGCACUGCUUGUGACUGUUCGUCUACACCUAAUUUUAUAUAUUUGGUUUCUGCAUGCAGAGUGGAUUCCAUUGACCCUUCCCUAAGAAGGUUUGGACGUUUUGAUGCUGAAAUUGAAGUUACAGUUCCAAAUGAAGAGGAGCGCUGUCAAAUUUUGAAGGUAUUUUUUAAGAGAGAAAAUGUUUAUGGAUCUUCUCUUAGCAACUUAAACUUUUAGAAUGAUUUGGUUCUAAAGAUGAUAUGAAGCCCCUUCAACCAAGUUAGUUGAUAAAACCUUGUUAUAUCCAUUCGUCAUAAUUAAAAAAAAAAGCAGCACUAGAUAAACCAGGCUUGUGUUUUAUCCACACUUGAGAACAAAUGGCUUUUUUGUGAGGGUUGUGUUGCAUAUAAAAAAUCAUUCAUGGGUAGACUACUAACAAUUUGAGCACUUAGGAUGAUUUGCUUCUUGGCUGGAGUAUAACUUUUUCAGAUUUAAGUAAUUUGCAUGAGCAAUUGUUUAGUAAGAAAAGUCAGUCCUUUAGUUUACAACCUUGAGUAAUGAAGUUCUGACAGCAUGAAUUUAUGUGGUUUUAUUUUAACUUCAGUUGUAUACAAAGAAGAUUCCCUUAGAUAGGGGUAUUGACUUAACACCCAUUGCCGCAUCAUGCAAUGGAUAUGUUGGAGCUGAUUUGGAGGCACUGUGUCGUGAAGCUACUAUGUUUGCGGUUAAAAGGUCCUCAAAUACAAAUGAAAAUGCUAGUGAUUUCUGUUUAACGAUGGAGGAUUGGGUGAACGCAAGGUCCGUGGUUGGUCCAAGUAUAACAAGAAGUGUAACUAAGGAAAUUCCCAAAGUGACUUGGGAAGACAUUGGGGGCCUGAAAGAAUUGAAGGUUUGUAAAUUUUGAAUGUAGUUAUGCUAUUUUCAUCCUCAGAUCUCAGUUAUAUUUGAGUGUAUCCUUGAAUAGAAAAAGCUCCAGCAGGCUGUUGAAUGGCCUAUUAAGCAUUCUGCUGCAUUUUCAAGAUUGGGGAUAACUACUGUACGUGGAAUUCUUCUACAUGGGCCUCCAGGAUGUUGCAAAACUACACUUGCCAAAGCUGCUGCACAUGCUGCCCAAUCUUCAUUCUUUUCCUUGAGGUUUGAAUAAUUUAAAUGUUAUUAAGUACGGUUUAUCCUUGUGGUUCUGAGAGCCUUGGCAUGAUUAGGAUUGAAGUUUAUGGCUAUAAGAUGGAUUAAAUCCUAUCCUUUACCUCAGGAAAGUGUCAAACAGUUGAGUAAGAAAAAUGUAAAUCCCCCUGUACUAGGACUCGUUAUUUUAUUUUCAAGUUUCCUAAAACACUCCUCACAAUUGUUUGUAUCUUUCUCUAAAUAUGUCCUUUUUAAGUUGAGUAUACGAAUCAACUUUAGAUAUACGGCUUUUGUGGGGGGAACAGAAAAAAUAAUUCUAGAAUUUCACACACACCUUACUUUUUGCAAUCCAGUUCAGCAGUUCCUAUACAAAACUGAUUUCCAAGUUAUGGAGAUGUUAUAAAAUAAUAAAUGCUGAAUUAGUGGUGCAGAAUUAUACUCAAUGUAUGUUGGAGAGGGGGAAGCAUUGCUUCGUAAAACAUUUCAGAGAGCACGUCUUGCAGCACCAAGUAUAAUCUUUUUUGAUGAGGCGGAUGUGAUAGCUGGCAAACGGUCAGUAAGCUUUCUUUGAAUAAGAAUUAUAUUAUGAAAAAUAAUGAUAAGCAUUACAUAUUGUGAUAACAUUUCAUGAUCAGUUUUCAAUUGUUUUGAAAUAAGGAAAAUGUGGUCUUUCCUUCAUGUUUUACUUAGAAUUCAAUGUUGACUUCCUUGAUGCACAUUUUUCUAUUGUUAGAGAUUGAAACAAGAAUAUUUUAAUGUUUUUAAUGCAUGACAAGUUACGUUCUUAAGUUUAUACACUUCAAUUGCAGGGGUGAUAGCUCAAGCGGUAGUGCUACUGUUGGAGAGAGACUUUUAUCCACUCUGCUGACUGAGAUGGAUGGCUUAGAAGAAGCUAAAGUAAGUCUACCUUUUUCUUCUGAUGAGAACAUUUUACCCUCUCCCAUCUUGUCCUCUUCUUUCUAACAAUGAAUUCUUCUUUUAGACAAAGGAAAAGAAAAAAAAUGAAAAUAUAAAACUAAGGUUCAAGAGAUUGGUAUACAGCAUCUAGUUUCUUUCUUCCCUUUAAUUAUAUACUUCAAUAAUAGAACCUUUUCAAACUGGUGGGAUUUGCUACCUGAAUCAAAAGAUAUCAUUUUUUUUUCAUUAAUCAGGUGACUUCCCUUUAAUCAUGCCCCAUAUUUUUUUUUUCCAGGGAAUCCUUGUUUUGGCAGCUACAAAUCGCCCUUAUGCAAUUGAUGCUGCACUUAUGCGUCCUGGACGAUUUGAUCUGGUGCGAAUUAAUAUCUAAGUUAUGCUUUUGUUUCAAGUUGUUAUAAUUAAGAGUUAAGACUCAGUUUCUGAUGAAAGAAUUUUUUGAACCGCUUAUAACAAUAUUUUAAUGAUGGAGUUGAAAGGGGUUGGUCAAAUAGGCUACUAAGAUUGGGCUUUAGGCUGCGUUUGGAAGAGUUUAUUUGACCUUAUCUUACAGCAUAAGCGUUUAUGGAAGUGUUUGGGUAAGCUUAUGAAAAUAGCUUAUGACCUACCUAGAAGUUAUGUUGAGCUUAUUUUUCUAAGCUACUCAGAUAAAUUUAUCAAUAAGCGCUUAACCUAUAAACUAUUUUGAGCUUAUUUCAAUAAGUUUUUCAAAUUAGCUUAUGAAUAAGCGCUUAUCAUAUAAGUAUAAGCGCUUAUUGCCGUAAGCGUUUAACUAAACUGUUUACCCAAACGCACCUUGGUUAGGACUUAGGACAUAGUAGUUUGGGACUUUGGGCAGUUUACAUGAGGUCAUAGGUUCAAAUUUUAUCACCAUCAUAAUUACCCGGAAAAAGGGUUGGUCAAAUAUUCCAUCUCUUAUUCUAGUAUAUUUUUGUGCAAUUGUAGGUUCUAUAUGUGCCACCACCUGAUUUGGAGGCUCGAUAUGAGAUACUUCGUGUGCAUACAAGUAGGAUGAAUAUAGAGAGUGAUGUUGAUCUUAGAAGACUAGCAGAACAUACUGAGCUCUUCACAGGUGCUGAACUGGAGGGGUUAUGCAGGGAAGCUGGAAUAGUAGCCCUAAGGGAAGACAUAUCCGCUUAUGCUGUUCGUGACCAUCAUUUCCAGAUUGCAAAGAGUUCCUUGAAACCAGCAUUAACACCAGCAGACAUUGAUUCAUACUCAUCUUUUAUGAAGAACCCAUCUCGUGCUUUCUCUGUGCACUCUGAACCUGGUUUGAAACUGGAAAACAAAAAGAACAAGUUGGGUCAUUUGUCUUUGGUUAAGAUUGGUCUAGUCAGCUGUGUGUUACUUGCUGCUGCCAAAUACUAUGCCAUUCAUGGAGGCCAAUCUAUACGUAAUGUAGCCACUUGAAGAGCAUUUGUCUUGUUUUUUAAUUAUACUUUUCCAUUGUUUAUUUUAUGCUCAGCAUAAAAUUUAGAAAAAGUUUUUAGAUAAAUAGGAUAAAUUCAUGUGUUUUUCUUAUGUAUAAUUAACUAGGAUUAUUUAUCAACAAAUCACCUAAAGGGGAAAUUUUUUUGAGAAAUUAAAAUUUUGAGGAACAGUGCUUUCUGUUUUCUAUUGCAAGUGCUUUUGGGGUGAUUUCUUUAGAAUUUAUAUUUGUCCUUAUUGUUUUUCUUGUCAAUAUUUAUAUUUAUAUUGUCCAAGUGUACGGUAUCCUCUCAUUGAAACUAAAAUAUUUGGCCUCAGAUAAAAUUUAGGAAAAGUUUUUAUACAUAAAAUUUAAUUUAAUGGAUAUGCACCGUUUAACACUGACAACCAAUCUUGGUUUUUUUUUUUUUUUUUUGAAAAGGACAACCAAUCUUGGUUGGUAUACUACGUAGGAGGAAAGGAAAAAUUACAUUUGUUUCAAAUUGCCCAUACAAUAAUGGUUUUUAAACUCAAGGGCCGUACAAUAUUUAUUUACAUUUUAAGGAAAUCUAUUAUUAUUACCCACAAAUCUAUUAAUGCCAUCUCCAUUAAAUUUUUUUUACCACACUUUAAAUUGCGAUAUGAAAAAUAUGCAUAUCGCACUUUUUUGUAUGCAGUUUUUUCAUACCGUGCGGUAUACAUAAAAAUAACAUAAAUAUGUGUAUGAGUGGUACACUGGUACUAAUACAUUUUCCCUACAUUUUAUUCUUUUUCACAAAGUGUUAUCUGCAUUAAAGUUUUUUUUUUUGUCAAAAUCUAUAUUAAAGUUUUUAGGACCCGUUUGUGGACAUGAUAAACAGACAUGAUAUGAUAGCAGUAAUCCUAUCCUCCAGCAGGAUAGAAUAACACUAUCAUGUCCCUUAUCCUAUACUGUUUAUCAUGUGUAAAAAUUAUCAUAAGAGGGGAGUUAGGAUAAAAAAUAUCCUGACAGAAUAUGAUAUCAAUUUAUGAAUAUUAUGAUUUUUUUAUUUGAAAGGAAAAUUUAAUACUUUUUUCAUUGUUUCUAUCAUAUCCUGUUUACCUCAAACACAGGAUAUGAUAAGAGUUUAUCCUGCUGUUAUUAUUAUUCUGUCAUUAUCUAAUCAUUUAUCAUAUCAUACUCUUAUUAUAUCUUGACUACCAAACGAACCCAGGUAAACGACACAGUAAUUUUCAAAUAAAAAAAAAAGGUGCAAUAAAAACUAAUGUAAACUAGACACCAUCCAAUACUAGCUGCACCCUACAAAUACAAUUUCCCCACCACAAGAAACAACAGACACCAGCACCCUCAUAAGUCGUAACGUAUCAAACACCAUCACACAGGCCCCAAUCAAACCCUGCUUGAAUCCUCCACCAAACCUUAAGGUGACUCAGAAGGCAAACAUUCAAAGAGUGAAGAUACAAACCCAGAGUGUUCUAAAUAGUCCAGAGAUACUAGCAACCCAUAUUACCUUAAAAAGGUCAUUCCGUCGGUUUAACUGGAUUUUGACCGCUUUUUAAUCAAACCGGUUUAUCUGGUUCGGCCACCAUAACGGUGUGUGAAACUACGAAAAUAACCCUCAAUAUAUAACUAGGCAAAGUCUCAAACACUUGGAUGCAACCUACAAUCUGCCUCCACCGUCGCGCUGUUUCCUUCUUCGCCUGGUUGUAGCGCCACCGUCUUCCGCCGCCUCCGUUCUAACAACACUUGUGCAAAUUCACUGAAAUAAGCUGCUCUUUUCGAAUAGGCGGCAUCAAAUGCCUUCUGUGGCUCCCGGAAAUCACAAUCACCCUACUGCUGCUACUGCCAAUGGCAAGUUCUCCAAUGCAAAUCGGAAUCGCCAAACCCAGCUCACUCCCGGGUAUAAACCCUACCCUAAUCCUAAUUCAUCUAUAUAGUUUCAUUCUCUCUUUCAAAUCAAUUUGAUGUUUGUUUCAUGGUAUUUGCAAUUUGUUAUUGUAUAUGCAGGAGACAAAAGCUUGCACAACAGAGGAAGUCUCUUCCCAUUGCUUCAGGUAUUGCCUUAGAAGAGCUUGAAAUUUUGGUAACUUUCACUUUCUUACUUUCAGCCUGUGGUGUAAUCAUUCACAGUAUGGUUAUUGUUUGUAUUGUCUGUAUUGUCUUGUAGUUGAGAAGAGGCUUGUUGAAGAGGUUCGAAAGCAUGAUAUUUUGAUUAUUGUCGGCGAAACUGGAAGUGGGAAAACCACACGUAGGUUACAUUUUAUCCUAGAUUGUGAUUAUGAUUAUAUCCUUAUUCCUUCAUAAUUUAGAUUUUUCACCAUGUUGUGUCUAUUGCAUUGUGCUGUGUAGAGAUUCCGCAGUUUCUAUUUGAUGCUGGACUUUGCCAUGAUGGGAAAGUUAUUGGUAUAACUCAACCCAGACGUGUGGCUGCUGUUACUGUGGCCAAACGUGUUGCCGAGGAAUGUGGUGUUGAGCUGGGCCAUAAGGUUGGGUAUUCUGUUAGAUUUGACGAUGCUACUUCCAGCUCGACAAGGAUCAAAUAUAUGACAGAUGGCUUGCUUCUGAGGUAAAACUUUUAUGUAACUUGGAUCACUUGAUUUCUUUACUGGGGGUGUUGCCUAUUAAGACAUGAUGGUAUUCCCUUUUUUUAGACCACCUGGCACCUGUCUUUUUGACGUGAAUUAAGAUGCUUGUUGAUUUCAAGAAACUAAGGAGGUUUCAAAUUUAAAUUACUUUUUCUAUGGUUUUGUAGAUACAGUUUUUAUGUAGGAGAGUUGAUAUAAAUUUCAUUGUGCUUACAGAGAAGCAUUGCUGGAUCCGUAUCUUUCUAAGUAUUCUGUCAUAAUCGUUGAUGAAGCUCAUGAGAGAACUGUCCAUACUGAUGUGUUGUUGGGCUUGUUGAAAAAUGUGCAACUUACUCGGUCAAGGUCUAUCAGUGAUGGUCAGGGCCUUAAUUUUGGGAACAAACAUGUAAAUAAUGUCUUGUUGUCAGACAAAGAGAAUGGUCAGAGUAGCAGUUCUCUUAGAAAGGACCACCACAAGAAGAUUUCUCCACUGAAGUUAAUCAUCAUGUCUGCAAGUCUGGAUGCUCGUGCUUUCUGUGAGUACUUUGGUGGUGCCAAAGCUGUUCACAUUGAAGGGAGACAGUUUCCUGUGGAUAUAUUUUAUACUCGUCGUGCAGAGACUGAUUAUUUAGAUGCUGCCUUGAUAACUAUAUUCCAGGUCAUUGGUUUAUUCUGACCGUAUAAUUUCAUUCUGUGUAUGCGUUUAUGGUAUUUGCAGUUUCACAUGUCAUUCAUUAUCCUGUUCUUUUCAUUCACGUUUGUGCAUUGCAUGGUUAUUCACGCAUGUUGCUGCUUUUAUGUAUUAUAUAAAUUUAUAAUAUUGCGGUGUUGACUGAGAAAUAAAGUUCAUAUCUUUGAUGUAAUAGAUCCAUUUAGCGGAGGGUCCUGGUGAUAUAUUAGUAUUUCUUACUGGGCAAGAGGAGAUUGAAUCUGUUGAAGGACAGAUCAAGGAGAAACUCACACAAUUACCUCAAGAAAGUCAAAAGCUUCUAGUUGCGCCUAUAUUUGCAGCUCUUCCAUCUGAGCAGCAACUGCGAGUCUUUGCACCACCUCCAUCUGGGUGUCGCAAGGUAUCCUAGCCAUACAUUUGUUCUUUCUUUUUAAUAAGUGUAUUAAUUAAUUGUGGAUAGAAUUAACUAAAAAAACAGGGGAGCGAAUCUUUCUUUUUAAACAGUUGACAUGUUUUAUCUAGGUUUUCAUUAAUUCUCUUGAAGCACUCUAUUUCUCAAUCACAAUAAUUGCAAGUAACGCUGGUUGCCUUAUUUAGAGUCUCAUUAGGUUUAGGAGUUAGGAUUCAUAUUGCUUUUUUUUUUUGCAUAUUUCUGUACUGGAAUUUCUCUUGGGCACACAUGACUUGUAUAAUGAUCAUCUUCCCCUUUCAUCCAUUUUUCAUGAUUGGUAACACACGGUUUACCUCUGACCAAUUUCAUGCUGACAAUAUUCUGCACUAUGAAUGUGAUCCAGCUCUUUUGAUGUCAGUGUAAGAACUACUUGUACCAUUUUUCCUAGUUGUCACACUCACCCAAAUGCUUCUACCAAUAUUUCUGUAUACUAACUGACAAUCUGGUGAUCCUUAACCCAACAUCAUAUAAUAUGAUGUCAUUAAGAGUCUACAACUGAUUCCAUCUUUUCCAUCACUUUACUAAUGGAUUAUUGCACUCAACUGACACCACUCCUUUAGGAACUAUGUCAUCUGAAUUGGCUACAAUCCCUAUAAAUAGUACUUGAAUGCACGAAAUAGUUUCUGUCAGGACCAUAUAAUUUUUUACUGCGCAUCACUUAUUUAAUGUAAGCUUAUGUAUAUUUAAAAUAACAUGAGAUUUUUACCAUAUCAGGACUCAGGUAAUCACUAAUCACUUGUUUCUAAUUGUAUUCAACUUAGCUCUCUUCAAGCAAAAAAACUUAGUUCUCUGUUGUUUUCGUAGGUGAUAUUGGCGACUAAUAUUGCUGAGACAUCAGUAACAAUUCCUGGAAUCAAAUAUGUAAUUGAUCCAGGAUUAGUUAAAGCACGUUCCUAUGACCCUGGAAAAGGUAUGGAAUCCUUGAUUAUAGUUCCUACGUCCAAGUCUCAAGCUAUGCAAAGAAGGUAUGGUGCUGGAUUAAAUUUGAAUCUAUGAAAUGUUUGUUUAUUGCUGCAAAUAUUGGCUGUGUUGAUUUAGUUAUUGUGGUGAAAAUAAGCUUGUCCCAGUUUGAUGAUGUCUUCCUUUCUUUAUUUCCAAGUUCAGUUUUUGUAAUGCACGCCUUUGGUUUUCCUUAAAAACAUGGUAUUUACUUAAAAACUUGAGAUGUGAAUCUUUCAUCAAAGUUUCUAUUUCAUAUUUAGAAUGUUUGAGGAUGCAUGUCCUAUUUUUAAUAUUUCAUUUGUAGGUGAUUGAGAAGGUUACAGAUCAUGUAAUGUAUAUUAUCAAAAUAUAAAAAAUAAACAUUGUAAUGUAAAGCAUCAUUUCUUUUUCAUGAAAUAUUUUCUUAACUAUUUACUUUAUAUAAUAGCUCAUUCUUUGAUUCUGGUUUGUGCUUUUUAAAUCUUAUUUUGGUUAUAAUGAUUGAUAUGUUGUAUAGGUAGUCAAUUUUAGCCGAAUUAUCUUAGUGAAACCAAUACAUUUAAAAUAAUUUUUCUGGAAGAGUAGCAGAAAUUGAUUAUCUACUUUUUGGUAACAGUGGGCGUGCAGGGCGUGAAGGACCUGGAAAAUGCUUCCGUCUAUAUCCAGAAAUUGAAUUCGAGAAACUUGAGGAUUCAACAAUGCCAGAGAUUAAGCGCUGCAACCUUUCUAAUGUCAUUUUGCAGCUUAAGGCUUUGGGCGUUGAUGACAUAUUAGGGUUUGAUUUCAUUGAGAAACCUUCAAGGUAAAAACUUUUUCAGAAUUUUGGUUUUACAGUUUUCUUACACUUUCAUAUUCGUGGAUAUUUAUGCUCUUCAUAUUCGUGGACAUUGUGAAACUGAAGGAAGCAAGACGAUGGGAAGAUGAUGAAUAACUAAUAAGUUUGUUGGAUGUACAUGAUAAAAUACAAUGAAUUUGGAUGACUCACCAUAUCAUAGUAUGGAAUUAUAACGAGUAAAUAAUCAGGCAUUUCCUUUAUGCUUUGGUGCCUGUAUGACUAAAUUAACUCUGCUUGAACUAUUUAAAUUUGGUACAUUUGCUAUUAUAUUGCAUUUUCUAAAGCAGGUCCUUUUAUCUUGAGGAAUUAAACUGCUUUUAUGUCAAACCUUACCAACUAAGCAGUUAGCAACCUUUCAAAGAAUACCAAUGUUAAUAAACAGCUCUGUUUAGGUAGAUGUAAUAAGAGGCACAUAAAGAGUUUAGAAAUCUAUUCCUUUGCAUCAGUCAGUAGUGACGUGAGUUAAAAUAUUUGAAAUUUUUAUUGAUAUGUUGUCGUGUGUAUUGUACUCUGAAACUAAUUUAAUUUUUUUAGGGAUCUUUAUUUGUUAGUUUACUCUUUAAAAGUAUUUUACCAGGCAACAAAUUACUCAAAGACUGUGCAUGUUUCAACAGGGCAGCUAUUAUAAAAUCAUUGGAGCAGCUAUUUUUAUUAGGUGCUCUAACAGAUGAGUGCCAUCUAUCUGAUCCAGUUGGGCGUCAAAUGGCUCGACUGCCUUUGGAUCCUGUUUAUGCCAAAGCUCUUAUUUUUGCUAGUCAGUUUAACUGCUUGGAAGAGAUGUUGAUAACUGUUGCAAUGCUUUCUGUGGAAUCCAUAUUCUAUGUUCCUCGUGAUAUGUUAGCAGAGGUUUGAUGCGUGAAUUGUCAUUGUAGUACAUUCUUUUCAUAUUACCUUUUGAUGUUAUGAUGUAACAUGAAUACGAAGAUGAAUCAUUGAUUAUGUACUACACUAGUUCAUCACUCUAUUUGACCAUUUAACAAUUUUUUUGUAAAUAUCAUAUAAAUGGUUCAAAUAUUUGCAAUUCGUAAUGACUGGCUGAAGAUUAUAUAGUCUUUCAUGUUUACAUAUACAUCACCCUUUCUCCCUUCUAUGUACUCAUUUAUUGUGUUUGUCCCAUUUUUCACCAGUCGAGAAUUGCAACAAAAUGCUUCUCAAGUCCAGAGGGAGACCACAUCACUUUGAUUAAUGUGUAUCGAGCAUCUAAUGAUUUCUUGGAGAAGAGAUCAAUGGAAAUGAGUAAACCAAAAAGUGAAAAGGUUUUGAGAAAAUGGUGCAAGGAAAAUUUUAUUAAUAGCCGUUCUCUUAGACAUGCUUGUGACAUUCACAGGUAAGUUGUAUUGUGUUAUAAGUAUAUUUCAAGGCAUCUAUAACAUAGAUAUUUAUGCAUUCAUUUGUAAAACACUUUUUGCAGGCAGAUUAAGGGACAUGUUCAACAGAUGGGUCUGAAUCUUGCUUCCUGUGGAGAUGAUAUGCUUCAAUUCCGCAGAUGCCUUGUUGCUUCCUUUUUCCUCAAUGCAGCUAUAAAGCAGCCUGAUGGAACCUACAGGUAUCUAAUUCAAUUUAAAAAUUAUUGGCAAAACCCAUCUGGGUAGCUUCCCAUCUAUUCCCUUUGUGAUAAUCAAACCAGUGUUAUCAAAUAUCUGGCAUGGCGGGCGGAAUCUCAUGACAGGUUUUUGGCUCUCCGCCAUGGCCGAUAAUUCGCCAUAAUCCACCAUCUGUCAUCAUUAUUUGUUAAAUAUGGCUGAUUUUUGGCUUUUCGCCAGUCUGCCAUCCGCCAUUAACAACCUUGAAUCAAACUGUUUGCGAAAGUAUCUGUUAGUUCUAAAAUUCUCAUCUGGAUUAUGACUCACUAAUUGGAAUUCGUACCAGCAUAUAUAAUUUUAUCAUAUAUUUGCUUUUAAAGACUCCCUCAUUGCUUUAAUCACAUGCAGGGCUUUGGCCAGUGGUCAGGUGGUGCAGAUCCACCCUUCUUCUGUAUUAUUUCGGCAAAAACCAGAGUGUGUAAUAUUUAACGAACUUCUCCAAACUAAUAACAAGUAUGUCCGGAAUUUAACUAGAGUUGACUACCUAUGGUUAACUGAACUUGCUCCUCAGUACUAUGCCAUGCAGAACUAAAUCCGUGAUGGUGCUACUAAAUAGGUAAUGUGAUAUCUUUUCUUCUUUGUGCUCGAUUCUGUUGGGUUUAUUCAUGGUCUUAUGUAAUCCGUUUAUUACUGUCUUCAUUAUUAACCUGAUUGGUGUGAGGAUUCAUCUUACAUUGGACACUGUCUUUCCUCUCUUAUUUGUAUCACAUGUUUUUCAAUAUUUUUGCAGGCUACGGCGAAUCCUUUGUAGUUAACAACACUCAAAGAAAAAUGAUGGGAGAAAGGGGAUGCAGACCCACAUGUAUUGUCAUUUAUUGUCAAUUACAUUGAUGCUUAUCUAUUUUUACGUGGUAUCAGGCCUGAGUUGUUGACGAAAAUCUAGCUUGUAAAUAAGAAGUUUCUCAUUCUUAAUUUCUUAUACUUAAUUGAGAGUACUCAUUCAGUAUCUUAUUAUUCUGUUAUUUACUGACUGGAAGAAUGAAAAUAUACCUUUAUGCUCUGUCUCACCCUACGUUUUCUACUUGGCCAUAUCUUACACUAAUAAUUGUAUGCUAGGUAAUUUUUGUAGAAUCAAGCUCAAUCAUAGUUUUGAAGAAACUUGUUGUUAUAUGAGUCUAUUUAAUAUCAGGUUAAAGUGGGACAGGAUCAGGUUAACUCAAAGUACAAGUUAAAUAAAUAAUAAAAUUAUGAAAUGAACAUAUCCAUGAACAUGAAAGUGAAACAAUAUUUUAAAGAAAACUAAUAAUGUACUUGGUAAAUAUAUCAUAUAUAUUAGAAUUUUACUCUAACAAGGCAGUUAUCUAGUGGUAAGUAAGUUAGACUUCUGUAAAAUUGAGAAUACAAGUUUGAAUUCCGGAAAAGACAUUUGUUAAGAGUGACAUGCAAUUGCUAUCCCAACCGUGAAUAGUGGCGACAUCCGACAAAAUAAAAUAGAAUUUCACUUGAUAGAUGUAGUACUUUUUCCUUGAUAAAAUAAAUUUCUUUUUUACCGUUCGAUAAAACAAAGGUUAAACCUCUAAUUAAAAAAAUUAUAAGUAGUAAACAUGUUUAGAAAUCUAGUUACUCUUCUUCACGAGAAACUUACUCUAUUUAAUUACCUUGUGAAUUAAGUAUGAUUUCCAAAAUUUCAACUGUUAUUCAUAUCAUGCAAAUUUAGGGUACAAAUUUUGUAAAAUCUUAAAAAUAAUCAUUAGUCCAUCAAAUAAAUUUAUUUUAAUGUGUAGUAUAAUUAAAAGUAUAUCUUGAAUUAUUUUUUAAAACACAAGUAAAUAUCAAUAAAAAUAUUAGAUGUUUAUAAAUGUCAGUUUAUCUAAAUUUUAAUAACUAAAUAAAUAACUAAGAAUUAACGUACUAAAUUAUUAUUUAAUUUUAUAAUAUGUCUUCUAUACAUAUCUCUCUGUUUUUAUUUUGUGUCUCUAUAUAAUUUUUUAAAGCCAAAUAUGUGACGGUAAUAAAAACUAGUUUAAUUUAUUCUUCAUUCUUUAUCAUCACACACACACUACUAGAACCGAGAUUCAUUCUGCUUCAUACGUCUUUGGCGGGACCCCUCUUAUUCUCACGCCGCCGCAAGCCACCGUCUCCUCCGCCAUCGCUCAUUUUCCGGCCAAAUUCAAACACUCGCAUUAUUCUCUCGCUUCUCAAUCUUCCCUCUGAUCCUCAUCAUCAUCAACAAACAGGUUCACAAUUUUCCUACUUUGAUUUCCUUCCAUUUCAAUUCGCUCAAAACAUCAAAAAUUGGCAUUGUCAAUAACAGCACCAUGUUAUGUUCAGAUUUGAGUAGUUUAGUCGGUUGCAAUGGUAGUAGGAGGUGGGAGAAUCCGGCUGAACACAUGGCAGCAGGCGGCGGUGGCGGUGGGCUCGGCGGUGGGUGCGUUGUUGGACCCUCGGAGAGCGGAUUUGAUAGCCGCUCUUGGUGAGACUACUGGAAAGCCUGCAUUUGAGAGGGUUCUUCAGAGGAUGAAGAGUUGCCCUGAAGGGAGGGUCAGUUUUUCAUUUUUAUAAUUAAUAAUUAAUUCCCUUUUUGCUUGAUAGAAAUCAUGUUGUGAAAACAAGUUUGUUGUUGUUGUUGUUGAAUGUUGAAUGUUGAAUGUUGAGUGGCCUUUGUUUGAUUAUUUCACUUUUUAUGGGAUGUUUUCUAGCAUUUAACAACAAAGGUUUGUAUUUUGGGUGAGAAAAGCUUUAGGAUGAGAUGAAAAUGCUUGUGUCCUGGUCUUAGAGACUUUGUUAAGAAAAAAAUUCAGAUGGGGUAGCAAAAAAUUGAGACUUGCAAAUAACCCAACUUGCAUUGGCAAGUAAGUAACAACUAACAACACUGUUUUUCCCGCUGCGAAUAUGAUAUUGAACCAACUCCUUUUUGUUUUGGUAGAAGGUAAUGAGGUGGUGUUUUGUUAUUAUUAGUACUUGUCAGUCGGAAUGCAUCCAUGAGAGCUUAGGUGACAAUGCCAAUAUGAGAAAUGAAAUUUUGGAUAGUGUAGUGGUUCCUUUUGGAAUAUUAUGUGAUGGCACAUAUUUGGUGAAUUUCAAAAGUGUAGACUGGAUAUAAGGAUGAUUGUUGAUUCAUUUUUUUGGACUGUCUUAGCGAGAGUUUGGAAUAGGGCUUAACUCUACAUAAAAUCUUGCUUAAGGGGUGAGGAUUGCCCUAACCUUCCUUAUAAGAAAAUUUUGGGGAGAUCUCUAAUCAAUGUAAGACCUUAACACUCGUCUUAACUCGUUAGAUAUGGAAAUUGUACUGAUUCGAGUAAAUUUAUGUUUUAUCAGGAUUUGGGAUUGUCUUUCAAUAAGAAUGAUACAUUUUUGUGGAAUAGGUUGCAAUUGUUGUGUGCCACAACACCAUUGUACAUUCCUUGUAUUUAUUUUAUUAUUUUCCAUAUCAGUUUGGAAUUAUGCUAAAUUGUUAUUGUGGUGAUUGUUGUUUUGAUAGUUUAUGGAGCUCAGUAAGUGUCUUCCCACCCACCAUAAAUGUCUAUAAUUGUUUUUAUGAUCUAUGCACAUGUAUAUACACACAUAUAAUGUGUUUUGCACCAACUUAUAUUCAAAGUUAAAACCCCUCACUAGACCUCUUACUGGUAGGAGUGCAGCCCAAGGGAUUCCUUGCCCUUUUAUCAUCACUGCCAAAGGGCUGAAAUGACCAAACUAAUUAUGUACUUUUAAGACUAGUAACUUGCUAAUACUUGCUCACAUCUAUCUUAUGCCAACUAAUGUGCAAUUAAUGCACUUUGGACAAUUACAGUUUAUGCAUUACUGAAAUGCCUCUCUGGAUAAGAGUGGUUAUAAUUAUUUUUCUCUCAACAAUGAUUUUUAUAACCAGUGUCUGUUGGUCCAAGUGCCAAAAAGCUUGAUUGUUCUUAGGUAUGGUCUCAGAUUGAAAUUUUGUGAAUAAAUUUUUUUGCUGAGAGAGCUUUGAUCUCUUAGGUGAAUCCACCAUCUUGACUCAAAUUAAUUGGCGCCUAAUGUGACUUUUGAAUACUUAAGGUCUUGGUUAAAAAAAAAAAGACACAAUGGUUCUGAUUACCGUCACUGAAAUAAUUGAUAUUCUUUACUUUGCUUAGACCAAAACUUGUUUCUGUCUAGAUAUACUGCUAAAUGUCACUAACUCACUAUAAAGACCAAUGAUUUUUCUUUUGUUUGACAGGCAGUAUUAUUGGAGCGUCCUCGUGUUGUAUCCGCAAACGUAGGGCAUGCUUGGGAUCUGCCAGCGAACACAUUUGGUGCUGCCUAUGCUAGAUUCAUGGGAUCCAGGAACUUCUCACCAGAUGAUCGACCUCCUGUACGGUUCAUGGACACAGAUGAGCUGGCCUAUGUUGCCAUGCGGGCUCGUGAAGUGCAUGACUUCUGGCAUACCCUUUUUGACCUACCUACUAACUUGAUUGGGGAGUCAGCACUGAAGGUAAUCGAGUUUGAGCAGAUGUACCUUCCUAUGUGCAUGCUGUCUGUUGUAGGAGGCACAGCAAGAUUCAGCGAAAAGCAAAGAAAGUUGUUCUAUCAGCACUACUUCCCCUGGGCCGUUCGUGCUGGCAUGCAGUGCACUGAUCUCAUGUGUGUAUAUUAUGAACGACAUUUUGAUGAAGAUCUGGAAGAUGUUCGUAGAAAAUUGCAAAUUAUUCCAGCUCCUGCUGUUCCUUAAUUGCAUGUCCUGAUAAGUUUUUUUAUGUUUUUUGGACAAUAGCAGUGAAAUUUUUCAGUAAGAUUUAGUGCACAAAUUUUGUUUCUGAUAUAAAGUCAGUGAGCUUUGUAUAGGUUGGAUUUUAUCAAUGAUUGUAUACCACGAUCAAUAAAAUAGACUCACCAUCACAGGUUUUGGUGUAUGCUAGACUAAACUAAACCUGCCCUUAACUAUUUAAAAUUAGCAUAGAUGAGAUUUUAUUGCAUUUGGGAAAAUUGAUCGCUUUUGGUUUAUCUUGGUGAAUUAAACUUGUUUGUAUCAUGAGAUAUUUGGUUGUUUCUACAUACGGUGUUCUUUAGGCACUCAAACCUUUGAUACCAACCGACCAGUUACCACUGUUUGGAAGAAUGCCUGAGGUUAACAAAAACUCAUAAGUGAGUUAAAAUAUUUGAAACUUCCAUGCUUUCUUGAGUAAUUUACUCCAGGACAAUAUUCACAUUUUUAGUCAUCUUUAUUAUUACUCAGUUUAAAAAGAUAUUUUACCAGGCAAAGUUGUGCCUAUCGCUUGUUUGAACAGGGCAGCUAUUAUAAAUUUAUAAGUUCAAUGGUAACUGAUGACUUCAGCUAUCAGAUCCAGUUGGAUAUCAAAGGGCUCAACUGCCUUUAGACCCUGUCUGUGGAAUCCUUAUUGUAUGCUCCUUUUUACAAGUUAGAAGAGGCUCUAACAGUGAAUACUGAACUCUGAUUGUAGUUUACUACUGUCAUAUUCUCUUUUGAUGUUAUCAUGAAUAUGUGUGUUUAAAUCUUCAAAAUUUUUGAAGUAAAUAAAUGGGAAAAUCAUUUUCUGGAAUGCACACAUCAUAUACCCUGCAUAGCAAUGUCAAAGUGAAAGCUGCUUUUCUUUUCUCCUCAUUUAGCAACAUUGGAGUGUACUAGAGCAUUAUAAAUUGGUCGAUUGCAAUGUCAAGUUACAGUUGCUUGCUGAAAUGCUCUCUCUCUCUUUAAGAUAAGGACCAAUGGCACUGGUUACCACGUUAUUAUUUACACUAUGUCAAGACCCAACUUUCUCUAUUCUUAUUCAUUUUCUUCAAGUCUAACCGCAGUACUUAGAUGCUACAAAUUUAAACUCUCACAUAAUUCGAGUGAUGGAUGAGGGCUUUGUUCGUCCAUUAAUUCUGAUUGUCACGUGCACGAUAACUUUUCAAUCAUCCAUCUAUUAUACCAUGUUUAGAAUCACUUUUAAUCAUAUCUAAGUUUCUUUUCGAAUAGUAGAUUUUCUCAAAAUCACCUUCCCUCAAACCUGAAAAACUACCAGAUUUCCAAACAUACAGUGACUUUGCUUCUUGUCUUGACAUGAAAUUUACACUACUGCAGUAUAACCUGUUCUCAUGUAGUCAUGGUAUGCCGUGCUCACUUCUGACAUGGAUCCAUGACUUCCCUGACCCUCAAGGAAUAUAAUAAUAAUUGUUUUAGGACUAAAAAGAUUGUUUAUUAUAUUUUACUUUUUUUUCAAAUGAGAGGGGCACAACAUACAUGAUUGAAGAUCUGCUUAAAAAAAAAAAAAAACAUGAUUGAAGAUCUCUUCCACAUUAGAACCUGCACCCACCCCCUCCCCCCCGAAAAAUUACGCUAACAAAAUGGAAACAAAGGACAUUAACAAAAUUGCUGCCAAUCUCAAAUAGACCUCCACAUUCAAAGCUCCACAGUGAUGAACUUCAAUACAAGACAAAAUGAAAGUUGAAAAAAUCUGGUCCACAGCUGACAUCCAUCCUGCCGCACAUCCUCCUUCCCCGGUUGAUGAAUCAGGAGACACAAGAACGUGAAAUCGUGAAUGUUAAAAUUAGCAAUUUGGCAUUUCAAGAAAAAAAAAUUGUGAUUGAAUGUGCCAGUGGAUGGAAAACCAAACAUACUCGAAAUAGGGCUAUCAAAAAUAUUGAAAUUCAGAAGACAAGCUUUUGGCAACUUGAAAGCAUCAAAUUGUGCCAUUCCAUUUUGACACAGCAAAAAGUAUUAUCUCUAAUUUCCAAGAGGAAUGCAAGCAACACCAAGGAUGGCACGAAUGCCGGUAGGGGUGGGGUGCUCGUGCCUUCCCACUUCCCACUCCUGCAUCCCGCCCAAGUCCAUGUCCCUGAUCCCUGCUAUGGGGUAUAUAUUUCUCAUAUUUCUGUUCCUCACAGGGACCCUGAACUUAUCAACAAAAUUUUUGAAACAUAGCGAACAAUAUAAAAAGUUGGGCACUAAAUUUAAAACCACAAGUGAUAGUUUUCUACAUCAAAUUCAAUAUAAAUAUACAAUAAAAUUUCAAAAUAACAUCAUUUAAAAUUCAACACGAAGCAUAACAUACGUUAAAUCUUCAAAUGAGCAAUCCAAAAUGUGAAGUCUAGCAUUUAAAUCUAAAAGUGGGCUGUAAUAAAGGAACAAGGAGUAUACUAAAUAAUCCUCAACCCCAAGUUUGUGUUGGACAGAAUUUAUCCAUCACCAUCCCCACGAGAAAAAAAAUGCCUACGGUCAAGGCCCGAAAAGGGAAUCCCCGUUCUCAGGUGAAUAUUGUCAUCCCUACCAACAACUCAUCUUGUGAUGCUUCUUACCACACAUUUAAUGAUUGAUAAUUUUUUUUUAAAUCAACACACUUGCCUCAUGAACUGAUCGCUUAAAAAUGUGUAGAUAAAAAUAAAUGAACCAAUCAUAAAGAGUGUUGCUAUUAUUCAUUUUUCCAAAACGGGAUACUAGAUGCAACACAUCAUGCCUCAGUCAUGGCAUUCGCCAAAACUUCAUAUAUCUAUUCCUCCAUAAUCUUAAAAAAUUUGUUGGUAAAAAUAAAUGAACCAAUCAUAGAGUGUAGCUACUAGCUAGUACUCAUUUUUCCAAAACGGGAUACCAGAUGCAACACGUCAUGUGUCAGUCAUGGCAUUCGCCAAAACUUCAUAUAUCUAUUCCUCCAUAAUCUUAGUACUAGUUCACAGUGGACCAAAAGCAAAGGUAAUCUAUUCUAGUAAAUUUGUUAUUAAAUAGAAAUGAACGUGUACGAUUCAUCAUUUUUCCACUCGUACACAGAAAGAAACAUUACCAGGUUCACUAGAUUGUUGUCCAUUUUCAAUUAGUGCCAUACAAUGAGGAUUUCGCUACACGGCCAGAAAGUCAAUCUCAUCAGAGCUUUCCUCAUAAACCACAUAGUUGGCAUCUGGAGCAUCCUCAUUGCCACUACCCUGAUCACUAUUAUAGCUGCCUUCAGAUGUACUCAUAAAACUUGAUCCAUCUGAUGUGUGGCUGCUAGAGUGUAAUGGCACACUUGGAUCACUAUCAUCAGCAUCAAAUUCCAUGUAACUGCAACACAGGCCAUAAACAUAAAAAUUGGUCACUUUUAGAAUGAAAAUUGAAAACGAAAAACCCUCCAUCUCAGUGCAUCAGAAUACUCUAAUUGAAAAAAUAUCUAACCUUCCUUCUGAUGGAUAUUCAGCCACCAAAUGCAUAUCAGGCCUUGCUUCCAAAACCUGCUUUAUAGGCAUAGUACUGCAACAUAGAACCCCAUAUUUUAAUUUAAUAAAAAUAGUAAAAUAAGUCAUUCAGAAAAUUGAAGCAUCACAUUCAUGAAUGAUAAUCAAUACCUAGGGUUGUAGCACCUCCGAUACCAGUCAACCUCAGAUGCUAAGCCUUCCCUAUUGGAUAUGUCCUGUUUGCGGUUAAGAGUAAGAACUUGAAUCAAAAUUGAGAAUCAAGCAGAACUUCACUUAUUUUUAGCAACGUAACAUAUUUCUAUGUACCCACCAGAUGUACAAGCAAUUUGAAAUCUCCUGCAAGAAUCGCUGUCAACAACCUGGUAGCUUCCGUCUGCACACGAAGUAUUAGUGUUUCAGAGGCAAUGGUUUGGAAAUAAGGAACCAACUAGAAAUGUAUUGCAAUCUGACCUCUUUGAGAUGCAUGCAAUCCCUUAAAAUUAAGACCUCAAGCAAGUUCCCACCAUUGCAGCUUCCAAGGUUUCUGACAGAGAAAGGUUUUCAGAUUUUCAAAUCAACAAUCUCAAAGACAGAUGAAUCUGAAGGUUUCGCAAAGUCUUGUUGAAAACAACUAACCUUAAGAAAUUUCCCGUGAUUGAAUAGGAUGUUGAAAAGUCAACAUAUUUCAGUUUCCGAAAUCCCUGCAAUGCAGUGUGAAAUUAGUAACCCUGAAAAUAUGGGGGCUUUACUUCUACUUAGAUUAAAAUGAGAAAUUGGAAAAUGCCAACUAAUUUAGAAUUAAAUAGCCUGAAAUUCAGAAAAGAAAUGGUAGCUGUAACGCCCCGAUUUCUCGAGUGUCACACAGUAACCAAUUUUUCACAAAAAUUUUCGCCGAUUCAUUUAUUACUCUUGAUUAGGUGAUAAAGGUCAUUUUUACUUUUGAAAGCUCUUGAAUACCAUUGUUAGAAAUCACUUUAAUGUUUUCCGAUUCAUAACAUAACCAUAAACCGCGUGUUAAAGAAAUCCGUUUUGCAUUAAACUCAUUAAGAGGAUAAAACAUCAACUGUUAUAAAAUCAACUGUAAGUAAAUAAAGAAAACCGUGUCCACACCCACGUAUGGAAAAACCACGGCGGAAGUAAAUAGUUUACAUCAGUUACUCAAGUUCUCAUAAAACUCAACAAAAUAAAAUGAAGUUCCAAACGAACGCUCGCUCAUAGGGCUCCCAGUCCAGCUAUCAGUGUCACGGUCACUCGGCGGGUUCAUCCUUUGGUUUCUCAUCUUCUACCACCUGUCUCCUCUUCCUGGGUCUCGGUCCCACUAAAUUGUUGUGAAUCCACCGUGUGCCCCCUCCAUAGAGUUGUUGUCCUGUAACCGAAGCGUCUGACCCGUCUUGAGGCACGAACUCAGCAGGUGUCCCAGCCUUAGGCUCAGAAGGAGUUUCCCCGACUCCCUCGACCUCAGGUCGCNNNNNNNNNNNNNNNNNNNNNNNNNNNNNNNNNNNNNNNNNNNNNNNNNNNNNNNNNNNNNNNNNNNNNNNNNNNNNNNNNNNNNACACCGGCCCACAGAGUUCACGGGUGACCGCAGUCGACCCAAAUAACUCCCUCGCGUGCAAGGUACCAUCGUUCUCAUGGUCCAUAGUCUCACUAGACCUAUGUCCAAUAAAAUUUUAUUCACAAUCAUCUUGCAAGCGAGUUAAUUCACUUUCUUAAGAUUGAGGCUCUAGGUCAAGUCAUCCUAAGUCUUUUAUUUUCUCAUCUCAAAGUUUACACUCCCAACAAGACAUAAUUAAUUCCUUAAAGGGUAACACGGGAAUUACGGCUAGGUGAGCGACCCGUGUCGCCAAAAUUCACAACUCAUGCAUUAAAAAUGCUACCAGAUUACCCAGGAAAAUUAUUAUGUACGUAAGCAACCGACCAAGGAAAAAGUCACCAAACCCCCCUCUAAGUUGGGUUCGGCCGAGACCAACUUUGGUCCCUAGGUUUGUAAAAAAAAAUUUCUUUUUCCCUUGAUUACUUACCAUAACAUUUUUCCAAGUCAAACAUUUAUACAAUUGUAAAAGAAAAAUCCAGCAAACUCACAUCAUCAUCAACGCAUGAAAUAAGGCCAAUUUUAAAGUAAGUAUACAAUCAUCACAUGAGCAAAAUUUCCAUGACCUUGAAUCUCAAAAAAAAACACGUAUGGCAUAUUACACCCCAUAUCACCAUCUAGUAAAAUUUUCCAGCAAACAUCUCUUUCACAAAAAUCCCCUUAACAUUAAGAGGAUGCCGAAUUGCGAUUUUCUAGUAUCAUGGUAUUCUUCACGUAAAUAUUGAUCCAGAACUGAACAUGUUAGAGCAAAAUAUAGACCAUGAUAAACUUAGCAACAAGGUGCAGCCACCUCACUCAAGCACAAACUCAUGCAAACUCAUGGUAAAAGUCAUAACUUUCCAAGGAAAACUCAAGAUAUAACUCCUAUUCUACCCAAGAGAUCCUAGGACCAGCCCUUACCUUUGUCCUUAGGCUUGAAGAAAAGAUGAAAUUGAAGAGCAAGGUUCUGGUUUCUCUCCUCUUCUCCCACGCGUGAAAUCCGCUGGUACUGUACAGCCAGGACCAUCGUCACUAAACCGAUGAUAUCUCGAGCUACAGAGGUCGGAAUGACCUGAUUCCACUUCGAGAAUUUUCUAGACUUAAAGGGCUACAACUCUCAUGAAGGAAGUUUUCCCAAAUGAAGUCGUUAAGACCCUCUAAAAAUUCACCCAAGUUGACAGUUCUAAUCUGCCAGCUAUCAAACAUUAACUAAAACUUCAAUUUUAUUCAAACUUCCAUAAAAUUGUUCCAAAUUGAACUUAGGGCCUUACAGUAGCUUCCCAUCGCACAUCAAUAGAAUAUCAAGAAGAUAAGUCUGCCUCACUUUCCCUAAGGCAAUUCAAUCAACAAUGGUAUGCACCAUUGCAAAAUUAUUAUUCAGACAAAUUGAAACUUCACACCAGCUAUUGGUAAUAUUAUAAAACAUCCAUCCAGAUGAUUACACUGGAUUAAACGGCAGAAGUUAUAUGUUGUGGAAUUUCACCAAAAUGCCUCUUUAACUUGAGAGUUCAAGAUAGUUUUCAGGUGUAAAAAGUGAAAAGAUGACAUAAAAAGCCAAAUUUGGUUGCAUGUACAUCUUGCUUGACUUGUAUUUUGAUUCAUAUUGUAAAACAUCCAUCCAGAUGAUUAGACUCCAUUAAACCGCAGAAGUUAUAUGCUGCAAAAGUUCACCAAAAUGCCUCUUUAACUUGAGAGUUCAAAAUAGUUUUCGAGUCUAAAAGGUGGAGACAUGACAUAAAAAACUAAAUUUGGGUGCAUGUACAUCUUGCUUGACUUGCACAUUUAUUCAAUCUGUAACACUCUUCCCUUUUCCUAGCAGAUAAAAUGAAGAAAUUCAACAUUAUAUAUUUAAGCAGACAUCUAUCUUUUAAUGAAUUAAACUUUAUAAAAGAAAAAAAUCCAAGGAGCAACAAGAGACUGAUAUUUAAUCAAAACCUCCAAUGUUUGAGCAAUGCAAAAAAAUGUUGAGAAUGAGAACUUGAAACAAACAAUGAAAAAUAAUAAUUUCCUUAAAAACAUACCUUAACCAGUAUGCGAACUUUACAAUCAUGUAGCUUAAACCCUCGAAGAGAUAAAGAAGCUAGAUGAGGACAAUUGUUUACCAGCUCAGAACACGUUUGCGCUUUCAAGCUAUCAUCUCUACCUGAUAAUUAAAACGAGAUAAGCAGAGAUAUAGAGUCCUAAUAGGUAAAUUAUAUCUAAGAAAGUGACUUGCCUGCUUUAGAAGACUCAAAACACAAACGCUCGAUCAAGUGGCAGUUUGCACUUACUGACAUUAAUGUUUGCCUCAGUUCAACAUGGCUAGCAGUUUAAAAAAAAAAUCCAUCAGCAAAUACUUAGAAACAACCUUCUCUUUCAAAAGAAAGAAUUAGUGGAAAAUAUGUGAAGGCACAUAUACAGAUACAUAUUAAAUGGUUACAAACAAUAAUAAUCACAUUUAAAAAUGAAACUAAAAUACAAGUACAUGCACAUUAGAGUUUAAAAGAAAAAAAAUAUUGUAAUAAAACAAAUCAUAUUUGUAGUCACAACUAACAGCAGAAAGAGUUCGCAGCCUAACUGUGACAGAUAGAAUUUAAAAUAGGGUACAUUCCAGAUCACAAGAAAGUAAACUAAUCAUGAAGAAAGAGUUCCAUUUUCUUCAUCUCUAACAUGUUUCAUCGAUGACAUUCAUACCCGUGAGAAAAAUGCUUAUAAUGAAAAGAAGGCGAAGAACACGAGUUGAAGUAAACAACUUACAGCCCAACAAUUUCCAGAUCAAGGAGAGAAGGGCAUGCUAACAAUGCCCCACCAAGGGAUGCAUUAUCCAUUCUCUCAAUAUUGUACAGGUGCAACUUUCUCAAAAGAGCCCUACAAAAACAUAAUGUAAGAGUCCAUUUAACCAUACUAAGAACUCAAGUCCAUGAGAAACAUACCCCGGAGCACCACCGUCCCCACUUAAAGGGCUUAAACAGCAUCUUGUAAGAAUGGAUGAUGGGUCUCUCCCUUGACGAGAUCUCUUAUCAAUCCAUGAAAUGUUAGAAACGUCUACAAUAGCAUUCCUAACGGCACAAAUCAAUGGUUGACAACAUCCAGGUGAAGUAGUGGCACCAGGGACAACACCAAGCUUAAGAGACCUUAUUAAAAGAAUUAAAUAGAUUAGUGCCAGCAUAUAAUCAGGUAAAAAUACAUCAAACUGUAAACCAUACCCAAAGAGUUAACACAAAUUAAAAUGGAUGAUACUUUUUCCUUUCCUAAUUGAAAGAGCUAAUUUAAUUUAAUUACUGAUUGAAAGCAGUAUCGAAGUUUACAUGGAAAAGUACACUUAAAACUACAGGCCAGGUAAACAUAAAUUUCUAAUAGGAAGUAAGGAACCAAAAUUUAGUAGUAGGAGUAUGUAAUAUGUUACAUACCAUGAGUCAAUAAUGAAAUGAGGAAACCAAAGCAAAUGAGGCAGACCAUCAAAACAAAUAAUCAAUAUGAAACUAAAUGGUCAAGUUAGGCAAUUUAUUUUUAUACUUUCACAAAUUAUACCCCCAAAAAUCAUCAUAUUAGCAGUUAAUUGAAGUUUCCUUGUGAAGACAAAUUUACCAUGGAAGGGAAAAGGACCAAUGAGACCCAAAAUUUCUCCUACCUCAGUGCCUUUCCAGCUCGCUGAAUCAUCGUUGCAACCACUGCAUUGUUAACCUUGGGAACAGGUGUAGUCAAAUCAAGAUUUGCAUAGCACAUAGGAUCUUUGGCACACUUGCUAAAGAAUGAACAAGAAGCCGAUGCAUAGCACAGGCUCUGGGUAUCAAGCAUCGAGAAGACCUGUACAUCACAUCAUCGAAUCAGUAUGCGGAGAGUUUCGGCUAUAUUCUAUUUAGAAAGCUCCAAACCACGUUUUAGCAAAAGCAAAAAAAAAAAAGCUUUUGCUAAAACCUGAUUUAGGGACCUUCUUAUCAGGAAAUCAAACAUGCUAAUAAAAAAUUGCGGAUAAAGCAUGUUAAAAAUCAGCUCAUAGGAAAUGAAUAAUUCGAUUCUCCCCCAGAAAAGACCAUCAAACGAGCAUAAUCAUCAUUACUGUAUAAUAUAACUAUAGACUCUUGUAUAUUCCCCCAUAAACACUUUCCAAUUAUGAAAUCAAAAAAGCUUUUGCUCAAACAUGAUUUAGGAGCCUCCAAACAUGCUAAUAAAACCUUGCAGAUAAAAGCAAGUUCAUAAUCAGCUCAUAAUAAAUGAAAAAAUCGAUUCUCCCCCAGAAAACACCAUCAAACAAGCAUAAUCAUCAAUUGUGUAUAAUGCAAUGCAACCAUAGACUCUUGCAUAUUCCCCCAUAAACACUUUCCAAUUAUACUUCAACAGAAAUAAAAAAAGCUUUUGCUCAAACAUGAUUUAGGAACCAUCAAACAAGCUUAAUUAAUCACCAUUACUCUAUAAUGCAACCAUAGAGUCAUGCAUAGAAAACCCAUAAGCACUUUCCAAUUAUACAUAAACAGAAACCCACCACUGUUCAAAAAAGUUUCACAAUGAAACAAGUAAAGCAAAGCGUUACCCUACCCACACAAAAUUACUACCAUUUCAUGAUUACAUUGAAUUUUCAAUUGGAUGAAAUUGGGAGAUUGUAUGUAUGUAACCUUGAUGGUGAGGUCGUGAGAGAGGGGCCAGGAGAGUGAAUUAUGGUGGGAAGCGCGUUUGCGGGAGGAGUGGUUGGCGGCGUGGAGGAGGAGCGAGCCCAUCUUGAGAGCGCGAUCGAUGAGAUCGGGUGAGUCGUGAGGAGGGGGCUUUGAUUGGAGAAGAUUCUCGAAGGAGAGAUCGAGGGAGAGAGACGGUAAAUCCGAGAGGGAGAGGAACGCGUUGAGAAGAUUCUCCACCUGCUCCGGUCUAGGGUUUUCUGACGGACACUGUCGCUUCGCCAUUGCUGGUGGCGGUGGUGACGGCGAGGAGGAGGAGGUGGUGGUGGAGCACGGUGGCUAUAUCAAGCAUGAGAUUGCGAUAGAGAUUCCCAUUUUUGCACACUCACUUCAUUCGGGAUUUGGGUUUGGCACCCCACCCUUUAGGCUACGCGCCCCAGCAUUUUUUUUUUAUUCCAAAACUACCCAUCGGUAAAUGAUUUGCCGAUGUCAAAAUACCAAUCGGUAAAUCAUUUACCGUUAUUGUUCAAGUCACACAUCUAUUUAUGUCAAUUCUUUUGUAUGGCGCAUUUUAAGUUGUGGUAAGAGAAAAAUGCAUACGACACUUUAAAUAUGCGACAUGCAUAUUACAUUUGUUUCAAACAACACUUUUCAAGUGUGGUAUACCUUAUUGGAAAAAAUGUGGUGGCAUAAAUAAUGUGUGUAUGAUAUUUACCGUUUUUGUUCCAGGGAUGACAGAGUCUUUUUUCUUUGAUGGGGUCUUUGUGGGAGCUUUGAUGAUGAUUAGAACCGACCUUUGAGAUGAUUGAAGUAGUGGAACCGAGCUUUGAGAGAGGAUGCGAUUGAGGGAGGGAAAUUUGGGUUUUGAAAUAAUGGGUUUCAAAACCCAAACUGUCGUGUUUAUAUGUUUUAAACAAGAUCGGUAAAUUAUUCCCCGUUAUAGAGUCGGUUAAUCUUUUCCCUUUUUUAAUCAACUGGUUUUCUGGUAAUUUCGCCCCCCAAGGUGGGGCGGGGGGCCUAAUGGGUGGGGUGUUAAACCCAAAUCCCGGGAUCCCACUUCAUUCACACACCACAGAAUCUUUUUAUUCAUUUCCUCAUUUAGAAAUAAAUAAAGUUGUUUCUCUUUAUGUAAGAAUAAAGAUUAAUAUUUUCCGAUGUAAAAAAAAAAAUUUAUUAAAAUAAACAUUCUUUUUUUUCCAAAGAUGUUUGUAUUAGUUUUUUUUUAGCCACAUAUUUGUAUUGUAUUAAUAACGAGUAGUUAGUUCAAAUGGUAUAUGUUUGAUUUCUCUUGUCGACUUAAAUAUUUUUGUCGCAGAAGAUAUUUGUCUUACAUCAAAAAGAUGUUUGUAUUAAACACUCAAUGCUCAAUGAUACUUGAAUUGAAAUUGAAUAGAAAAAAAAAUGAUAUUAGUACUGCAUAUAGUUGAGUAAAUUAAGAACAAUGAUGCUAUAAACUAGUAAAAACCUUAAUAGAAGGCCAUAAACCCUCAAAGUUAAAAAAAGAAUCCAGUCAGACUUUGAAAUAGAGAGUUUUUUUUUAUAAUUUUUUUGUCUAUUUUUUUUUAUUUUUUUGUCAAAGGUUUCCAUUCAGCAGUUCAUCAAUAUACUCUAAGAAAAGAAACCCCUUCUGGAUUACGUGUCACCUUCUCCUUUUUUUCUGGAUUAUUUUAAGUUUUCCUCCUUCUUUUACAGUUCCCGCUGUUCUUCUUUUUAGUUCCGUGUUUAAUUGAUUUCAAAUUUCAAAUAGAUUCAAAAAUUUGACAUGAAAAAAAAAGGCUGCCAAGAUCAGACUUCAAUUGGAAAGAGAAAUAAUAAAAAACUGAGAAACCCCAUCUCUUCUCAAUUUGCUAUCUCACUUUUCAGUUCUGAUUUUCGUCCUCUUCAUCUCCCUUGAAACCCUAUCUCACUUCUUCACUAUCUAUUCAUCAGUUCUCUAUUAGAUAAGAAACCAGCGUUGGAGUUGCUCUUAGGUUCUUCAACAAAACUCCAUUUUACCUUUGUACAACAUGCACAGACUUUUAUUCUUGUGGGUACGAAGAUUUAUGUUUACUUCUUAUCUUAAAGUGCAUGCGACUCGUUUCCACUGAUAAAAUAAAUAACCAUGAACAUUUUUACUUUGCAGUGACAUUAAUAAACACAUAAACUCGGGAUAUCCAUUGAGAGGUGUAAGGGUGUUUUAUAUCUGUCACUUUGCUUUUACUAUCUUCACUUGUUAGUAAAACAUUGCAACACACUAGAACAAGAACCAAGAUAAUGUGUUUUUAAGAAAUUUGGCAACAAAGCAAUUAUUCAUUUAUGAGAUCUUAUACAUACAUUUGCAUAUGCAAAUCUUAAACUCAAACCAAAAAUGCCAAAAAGUACAAAUGCCUUUUUGUAUGAAGAUUUCAAACUUAGUAGCCUGCAGGCCUGUGAGCAAUGAAGCUGAUGCACUGCACUUGGCGAACGGCGAGCGAAGGCAUUGGGGUAUGCCUCCGCAGCCUCAUCAAGCUCCUUCAACACCUGAGCAGCAUCACUGCAGCCAAACAUGGGCAGCUUCCACAUGGUCCAGUACCGGCCGUCAUAGUAUCCAGGUGACUUGUGGUUCUCACGGUAAACAAAGCCUUUCUGCACACACAAAAUGCAGCAAACAAAUCAUCAACCAUCAAAACUCAAAACUUUCUAGCGUCUUCGGAUUGGCGGCAGCACACAAUUCAAAGUACAAUAACUCCUAAAGCUGCACUUUGUAGCUUUUGCCCAUAAGUGCUUAUAGGGUUUCUCACCGCAGAACCAAACAAGGGUUGGAAGUAAAUUUACCUCCAACUCGAUUUCCAAGUAAGAAAUCAACCAUCGAACUUCAAAAUUAUAUGUAUAUGUUUGAAUUGGUGGUGGCACACAUUUCAAAUCACGAUACUUUUAGCCUAUUUGAUUUUGCGGUGAGAAUUCUCAUAAUCAAUUGUAGAGAGAAGCUACAAAUUGUAGCUUCUGAACUUAUCGUGCUUUGAAUUGUGUGACACCACCAAUCAAAAUCUGCUAUUUGUAGCUUCUCGAAGAAGUGAUUAUAGGAUUUAUAAGCGCUAAUAAUUGAAAACUAGAAAGUAAAGAAAAGGUUGGAAGUAAGUUGACCUCUGUCUCAAAUUCCAAGCAAGGAACCCAACCCUUCCUAAGAAGGUAUUCUACUUCCUUUAAGAGUUGCUCUGUGGUGAGUGGUGGAAGGUAUGAAAGAGUCUCGAACUUCUUCUUGCCAAUAGGAGGCCACACCUAGUAGCAUGCAUAAGAUUGAGUUAAGUGGUUAACAAAUUUGUUGCCAAUGACUUUAAUCUCAUUUGGUACAGGUUUGGAAACUCUUCCACAAUUGAUUUUGAAGUCAGAAUCAAUUAUGGAUAAAAGCUUAUGUGAGUAGCUUCUGUGUCAUAAUUGAUUAGAAGGAAAUAGUAGAAGCUGAUUCAAACAUGCUUAUUAUGGGGCAAAAAUAUGUAGCAUUAUGCAUUGUAAUAAAUUUGAGGCAUCUUAUUCUUACCUGCAUGCAUUGUACUCUUCCACCGUUGCUUGCAAUGGAGGUAAUGUCAUUGUUGGCCUUUCUAACUGGGAAGCCAGCCAUGGACUUGAGGCCGGUGAAUGGAGCCACCAUGCUGGCCUGUGCCGGAGAGGCACCUUUAAUGGUGGUGGCGGCGGCUGAGGAGGUGAUCAUAGAGGAAGCCAUUUCUUUCUCCUUUUUUUAGUUCUCUAGUCAGAAAUACUUGCAAGGCUUCUACUCAAACAGGGUAUAUAUUGCCAAAAUGAUAAACAUUGUAGAAUAUGAACCAAAGAAAUCAUAUCAUGAUAAGAGCUUCACGCCGCAGCUAGUUUAGUCCACAAAAUUAUAUCCAAGUUGUAAUAACCCUCGAUCCUCCAAGAACAACGUUUUAGAAUUUUCUUCUCCGAAAAAUUUGCAUGGGGAAAACUCCAAAGGAUAUGUUAAUGGACUCCAAUUUUAAAAUUUGAAACAGAAAGUAGAGAAAUUAGUCUUGCG
This 62604-nucleotide long non-coding RNA is filed under the name Lotus japonicus. Its description in RNAcentral is "long non-coding RNA (LJAP_LNC001169)". Lineage: Eukaryota; Viridiplantae; Streptophyta; Magnoliopsida; Fabales; Fabaceae. The record is from RNAcentral.